Molecule: long non-coding RNA, 88360 nt
Filed under: Zea mays
Lineage: Eukaryota; Viridiplantae; Streptophyta; Magnoliopsida; Poales; Poaceae
Description: long non-coding RNA (ZMAY_LNC003855)
Source: RNAcentral
CAAUGCGUCCGAUUUUCAUCCCGGAACGAGCAAGCGCCCUGAGGGCAGACUGGGCACCAGGUCCAGGGGUCUUGGUCUUGUUGCCUCCGGUGGCACGAAGCUUAAUGUGCAGUGCAGUAAUGCCAAGCUCCUGAAGACAAAAUACCGGCCACAGAUCACUUAUCCGGAUAUACAGCAACACUAAAGCAGAGCUACGUAAUCCUAGGCUUCAAUGUAAUUAUUAAGACAACGUCUUCUUUGGAUACACAGACGGACAAAUGAGUGAGUACCUUGCAGCGCUGUGCGACAUCUUGAGCAGCAAGCAUAGCAGCGUAAGGUGACGACUCGUCACGGUCAGCCUUCACCUUCAUGCCACCUACAGGGUUCAGGUUUAGCACAUCUCAGUUAAAACCAUAUACAGCUGCCACCUAGGUCGUGCACAGCCAAGGUUUUAGGAUGGUACCGGUGAUCCGAACCAGAGUUUCCCUCCCAGACAAAUCAGUGAUAUGCUGCAGAUAUUACAACAAGACACAGUUCAGUUAAACUUGAAGUGAAUGAAAAGGUCUAACCACAGAUGGCGCAUAUGAUACUUACAAUGAAGGUGUCAUUGAAGGAUGCAAAGAUGUGAGCAACACCAAAGACAUACUCUCCUUCACGGACAGUGGGUCCAAGGGUGACGUUCUCCUCCUUGGGCUCCCUGGUCUUCCUCCUCGACUGCAAACACAUACAACUAUAAGAUGACACUGGGACAAGUUAGCCUGGAUUGCUAUGUUGUCGUGCUAACAACCUCCAGAAACUAUUCCACAGUACAAGUUAGCCUGAAUUGAUAUGUUGUCCCUGUAAGAGCCUAAGAGCUUCAAAAGGAUAGUAAUAGUAAUUAAGCACGAUACAGAGAGCUACAAAUCAAGCCAACCACUUCAGGACCUCAAACAAGACUUGCAUUGCAUGAAAACUGAUAGUUGAUUUGCUCUAAUAAAAAGCUAAUAAAAAAUGUACUGCAUGAAAACUGAUAGAUGACAUUCAGCAGCAAACCAGCUCGGUCCACUAAUCAAGCCAACCAUUUCAGGACCUCAAACAAGACUUGCAUCACGAUGUAUAUGAAAUAAUUGAAAUUUUGCCACUUGAAACGUUGCCUCCUUGUUAUAAUUACCCAUGUGUCUAAGAAUUGUGGGCUUCAUCUAUGUCUAUCAAUUGUAGGGUCCAUCUGUGUCUAUGAAAUAUAGAAUCUGAUAUUUGCCAUCACCACAAAACGUGUUUGUAAAAUUGCCAUCAGACCCACACAUUUCAUAGACACAGAUGGACACACAAUUUAUAGACACAGUGGUAAUUAUAACAAGCAGGCAACGUUUUAAGUGGCAAAAUUCCAAUUAUUUCGUCUAUGAAAUGUGGGGUCUGGUGGUAGCAGAACGUGUUUUGUUGUAAUGGCAAAUAUCAGAUUCUCUCGGUGUAUAUAGCGAACAGUUAUCCUAACAAAACAUAUACUUUCCAGCUCCAUGUGCAAAUCAACCCAAGCCAAAGGGCGAAGGCCCACAUAACCAGCAUUUCUCACUCUUAGUUUGUAAUAGUAGAUUCUAAUCAUAUCUAUGCUUCCACCAAUUUAACAGCACAUCUCAAAUAUUUUGGCAGAUGAAAAAUGUUCAACAAGAACUCAUAAAUCGUGAUCAGAUUAGAAAAGAUGUUGUCACAGCAUCACUUCAAUCUUCAACUCCGGAGUAGGAGUAGGAGUAGCAGUCAACAAAUGUAACCAAGCACAGAUGUCAAAUUGCAAUUUAUCAGAUACAAUCCACCACGGGCAACCAGCCAAAACAACAGUAGCCCUAGUCAACAGCCAAACCUACGCUCUUAAACCAUCUAUAAACAAAAACAAUCGAAUCCAGCGCUACCGUGCUUGCAGCCGGAUCCGAAUCCACCGCUACCGUGCUUGCACCUACGUCCGCUUGCGAGCCAUAACCAUACGAGAAGAGGCUCGCUUACCAUGGUUGCGUGGAGCGACGGGUGACCGGAGCGGAGGCACGACUUGGGUUGAGAUCACAAGCACGCCGGCGCCGCCGAGACUUCCGUGGGGCGACGGAUGAGUGGUGCUGGUUUAUAUACGAGGCCGCAGCCCCUUAGGGUUUAUUAGACCAAGCCCAAAGAAAUUUCCUCUUUUGCCCUCUCUCUCUCUUCUGUCAAUGCGGCUGGGCCCAUCUCUUACACGAGGACUGUGCUAUUAAACAGCUAAGGGCAUGUACAGUGGUGUUUAAUGUGGGGGCUCUUAAGGUGUUUUAGGGGGUUAUUUGCAAAAAAAUCUUAGAGCCGUCUCUCCGUGAAGAGACGUCUCUGGCUCGUAAACCAAGUAACAACAGACGCCUCACUUCCCACUGUACGAAUUUGUCGUCUGUUCUAUCGAUCUGAUGCUAUACAAAUACAUUUAAUUCUGUAUUUAUUAACAGACUACGUUUAGAGACACUCCAUUGUACAAUAGAGUCUCUUAGUUGUCUCCUGUGCUUGGAGAACCGUUUUGGUGUCUCUCCACUGUACAUGCCCUAAUAGUCGGUUGUCCGUGCGUUGCGACGGCUCAUAACAAUACCCACGUAAACUAUCCACCAAGAUUUUUUAUUGAUUGUCUCUGCUUCCGCAUUUUUUUUGAUUUGACUAAGCGAGUCAACAUCGUGGUAAAGGAAAGACCAUCGAAUAGGUACCAUAGGUAGUAAAUCAGGGAACCUAUCCUCGCCUCUCCACUUCCAAGGUUUCGUAGAACAGGAAGGGAAGGGAAGGGAAGAGACAGUCAUACAUGUUCGUUGCGGAAGAAGGACACGACGAAGAUAUGGACAUCUGGAGGCGACAUAGGUAGUAUACCGCUAGAUACAUACAGGGGGAGCACACAAGCAGAGAAAGAAGCCCAAUCAGGGCAGCUCCAAACUGAGAGGCACCCGCACCAGGCGUCAGUCCGAAAAGGGCGAGAGAUUGCGAGUGCCUUCCAGCCCUAGACCCGCCGAGACGACACAACACCACCACCAACUCUUUAGCAUAUGUCGAUUGCUGCCGCGCUACAAGCUUUGGUUGUCCAAUAUCUCAGAUCUAGACUCGUCAUCGCCAAGAUAACCUAAGCGUGGCAGACACCAUUGUGUCCUCCUCGGCAACACGCACGAAAAAAAGCCAGGAGCAAGGCCGACUCGCCCGUACCCGCGUCGACGAGCAUCGGUCGGCUCGCGGCUGUGACCGUAGGCAGGGGCAGCAGGUUGGGGAGGAAGAAUAGGGCGAAGGCCGAGAAGACGAACUGGACAUCCGACGAUGGCAAAAACGAUGGUGCGUGCAUGCUGUGAAACACCCUCGUGGACGUGCAAUAGCCACUGCGCGGGUCGGUGUCGGGGCUGGUGUCGGACGAAUAUGGGGAGGAGGCGCCUGCUCCCACGCCCUCUGCCGAGAAUGUGUGGCGCGGAGGCGGAGGCAUGAGGGGAGAGAGAAAAUAAACAGGAUGACGAACGAGGUGGCGGCAACUGAGACGAGGACCAUCAUUAUCGUGUGAAGGUAUAGAUAGCCAAAUGGGUCGUGUCUGGCGAGCUGGUCUAGGGUACGGCCCAUUUAAUAGUGUCUGGGUCAGCCCGACACGAUCGUCGUGUCGUGUUUGGGACGUAGCCUCGGCCCGUAGUGCUGAUCCGACCCGACACGAUUAUAUUUUUAUUUAUUUUACAAAACUCGUAUAUAUGUACAAUUUAUAUUCAAUAUUAAAAACAAUUGACCAUGAUGUUCUACUGGUUAGAUGACUUCACUUAGUGUCUCCCGCCCUUCUUCCAUUAGGGCUUAGUGAAAGUCGCCUAGAGGGGGGUGAAUAGGGCGAAACUGAAAUUUACAAAGUUAAUCACAACUACAAGCCGGGUUAGCGUUAGAAAUAUAAUCAAGUCCGCGAGAGAGGGUGCAAAACAAAUCGCAAGCGAAUAAAGAGUAUGACACGUGGAUUUGUUUUACCGAGGUUCGGUUUUAGCAAACCUACUCCCCGUUGAGGUGGUCACAAAGACCGGGUCUCUUUCAACCCUUUCCCUCUCUCAAACGGUCCCUCGGACCGAGUGAGCUUUCUCUUCUCAAAUCAACCGGGAACAAAAGAACAAAACUUCCCCGCAAGGACCACCACACAACUGGUGUCUCUUGCCUUGGUUACAAGUGAGUAUUGAUCACAAGAAAGAAUGAGAAAGAAGAAAGCAAUCCAAGCGCAAGAGCUCAAAAGAACACGACAAAUCACUCUCACUUGACACUAAAGCUUUUGUGGAAUUGGGAGAGUAUUUGAUCACUUGGGUGUGUCUUGUAUUGAAUGCCUAGCUCUUGUAAGUGGUUGGAAGUUGGAAAACUUGGAUAACUUGAAUGUGGGGUGGUUGGGGGUAUUUAUAACCCCAACCACCAAACUAGCCGUUUGGUGAAGGCUGCUGUCGCAUGGCGCACCGGAUAGUCCGGUGCGCCACUCGCCAGCCACGUCACCAGGCUGUUGGGUUCCGACCGUUGGAGCUCUGACUGCUGGGCCUGCCUGGAUGUCCGGUGGCACACCGGACAUGCACUGUAGAGUGUCUGGUGCACCACUUCGCGCGUGCCUGACUUCUGCGCGCUCUGGUGCGCAUUAAAUAACUCUGCAGGUGACCGUUGGCGCGAAGUAGUCGUUGCUCCGCUGGCUCACCGGACAGUCCGGUGCACACCGGACACGUCCGGUGAAUUAUAGCGGAGCGAAUUCCCGAAGCUGGCGAGUUCCAGAGACGCUUCAUUCCUGGAGCACCGGACACUGUCCGGUGUACACCGGACAGUCCGGUGAAUUAUAGCGGAGCGCCUCCGGAUUUUCCCGAAGGUGAAGAGUUUGGCUUGAAGUCCCCUGGUGCACCGGACACUGUCCGGUGCGCCAGACCAGGGCUGCCUUCGGUUAACCCUUGCUCUCUUUAUUGAACCCAAUUCUUGGUCUUUUUAUUGGCUAAGUGUGAACCUUUGGCACCUGUAUAACUUAUACACUAGAGCAAACUAGUUAGUCCAAUUAUUUGUGUUGGGCAAUUCAACCACCAAAAUCAAUUAGGAAAUAGGUGUAAACCUAAUUCCCUUUCAAUCUCCCCCUUUUUGGUGAUUGAUGCCAACACAAACCAAAGCAAGUAUAGAAGUGCAUAAUUGAACUAGUUUGCAUAAUGUAAGUGCAAAGGUUACUUGGAAUUGAGCUAAUAAAACUACUCAUAAGAUAUGCAUGGAUUGUUUCUUCAUUUUUAUUAUUUUGGACCACGCUUGCACCACAUGUUUUGUUUUUGCAAAUUCUUUUGUAAAUCCUUUUCAAAGUUCUUUUGCAAAUAGUCAAAGGUAAAUGAAUAAGAUUUUGCGAAGCAUUUUCAAGAUUUGAAAUUUUCUCCCCCUGUUUCAAGUGCUUUUCCUUUGACUAAAACAAAAACUCCCUCUUGAUAAAUUCCUCCUCUUAGUGUUCAAGAGGGUUUUAAGAUAUUGAUUUUGAGAAUACCAUUCUCUCCCUCUUUUGAACACAAUGAGAUACCAAUUUGAAAAAUCAUAUCAAUUAAAAACUCUCUCUAAAAUUAGUACCAAUUGAAAACCAAAAAAAAUUUAAAUGGGUGGUGGUGCGGUCCUUUUGCUUUGGGCUAAUACUCUCUCCCCUUUGGCAUGAAUCGCCAAAAACGGAGUCAUUAGAGCCCUUUCUAUAACUAUUUUCUCCCCCUUUGGUAAAAGACAUAAGAGUGAAGAUUAUACCAAAGACGGAGUCCUUUUGUACUUAGGCUCUCUCCCCCAAAGAUGGAGAGUUGCCCGGAGCGACGGCGAAGGAUGAGUUACGGAGUGGAAGCCUUUGUCUUCGCCGAAGACUCCUAUUUCCUUUCAAUACACCUAUGACUUGGUUUGAAAUAGACUUGAAAACACAUUAGUCAUAGCAUAUGAAAGAGACAUGAUCAAAGGUAUAUGAAUGAGCUAUGUGUGCAAAUCAACAAAAGAAGUUCCUAGAAUCAAGAAUAUUUAGUUCAUGCCUAAGUUUGUUAAAAGUUUGUUCAUCUAGUGGCUUGGUAAAGAUAUUGGCUAAUUGAUCUUUAGUGUUAAUAUAUGAAAUCUCGAUAUCUCCCUUUUGUUGGUGAUCCCUUAAAAAGUGAUACCGAAUGGCUAUGUGUUUAGUGCGGCUAUGCUCAACGGGAUUAUCCACCAUGCGGAUUGCACUCUCAUUAUCACAUAGAAGAGGAACUUUGGUUAAUUUGUAACCAUAAUCCCUAAGGGUUUGCCUCAUCCAAAGUAGUUGCGCGCAACAAUGUCCUGCGGCAAUGUACUCGGCUUCGGCGGUAGAAAGAGCUACGGAAUUUUGCUUCUUUGAAGCCCAAGACACCAAGGAUCUUCCCAAGAACUGGCAAGUCCCCGAUGUGCUCUUUCUAUUAAUCUUACACCCUGCCCAAUCAGCAUCCGAAUAACCAAUCAAAUCGAAAGUGGAUCCCCUAGGAUACCAAAGCCCAAACUUAGGAGUAUAAACUAAAUAUCUCAAGAUUCGUUUUACGGCCGUAAGGUGAGCUUCCUUAGGGUCGGCUUGGAAUCUUGCACACAUGCAUACAGAAAGCAUGAUAUCUGGUCGAGAUGCACAUAAAUAGAGUAGAGAGCCAAUCAUCGACCGGUAUACCUUUUGAUCCACGGACUUACCUUCUGUGUCGAGGUCGAGAUGCCCAUUGGUUCCCAUGGGUGUCUUGAUGGGUUUGGCAUCCUUCAUCCCAAACUUGCUUAGAAUAUCUUGAGUAUACUUUGUUUGGCUUAGGAAGGUGCCCUCUUGGAGUUGCUUUACUUGAAAUCCUAAGAAAUACUUCAACUCCCCCAUCAUAGACAUCUCAAAUUUCUGUGUCAUAAUCCUACUAAAUUCUUCACAUGUAGACUCGUUAGUAGACCCAAAUAUAAUAUCAUCAACAUAAAUUUGGCAUACAAACAAGUCAUUUUCAAGAGUUUUAGUGAAUAAAGUAGGAUCGGCCUUUCCGACUUUGAAUCCAUUAGUGAUAAGGAAAUCUCUAAGACAUUCAUACCAUGCUCUUGGGGCUUGCUUGAGCCCAUAAAGCGCCUUAGAGAGUUUAUAAACAUGGUUAGGGUACUCACUAUCUUCAAAGCCGGGAGGUUGCUCAACAUAGACUUCUUCCUUGAUUGGUCCAUUGAGGAAGGCACUCUUCACGUCCAUUUGGUAAAGCUUGAAGCCAUGGUAAGUAGCAUAGGCCAAUAAUAUACGAAUUGACUCAAGCCUAGCUACGGGUGCAUAGGUUUCACCGAAAUCCAAACCUUCGACUUGGGAGUAUCCCUUGGCCACAAGUCGGGCUUUGUUCCUUGUCACCACACCAUGCUCAUCUUGCUUGUUGCGAAACACCCAUUUGGUUCCUACAACAUUUUGGUUAGGACGUGGAACUAAAUGCCAUACCUCAUUCCUCGUGAAAUUGUUGAGCUCUUCUUGCAUCGCCACCACCCAAUCCGAAUCUUGAAGUGCUUCCUCUACCCUGUGUGGCUCAAUAGAGGAAACAAAAGAGUAAUGCUCACAAAAAUGUGCAACACGAGAUCUAGUGGUUACCCCCUUAUGAAUGUUGCUGAGGAUGGUGUCGACGGGGUGAUCUCGUUGGAUUGCUUGGUGGACUCUUGGGUGUGGCGGCCUUGGUUCUUCAUCCUCCUUGUCUUGAUCAUUUGCAUCUCCCCCUUGAUCAUUGUCGUCAUCUUGAUGUGACUCAUUUGCUUGAUCUUCUCCUUCAUCAACUUGAGCCUCAUCCUCAUUUUGAGUUGGUGGAGAUGCUUGCGUGGAGGAGGAUGGUUGAUCUUGUGCAUUUGGAGGCUCUUCGGAUUCCUUAAGACACACAUCCCCAAUGGACAUGUUCCUUAGCGCGAUGCACGGAGCCUCUUCAUCACCUAUCUCAUCAAGAUCAACUUGCUCUACUUGAGAGCCGUUAGUCUCAUCAAACACAACGUCACAAGAAACUUCAACUUGUCCAGAGGACUUGUUAAAGACUCUAUAUGCCCUUGUGUUUGAAUCAUAUCCUAGUAAAAAGCCUUCUACAGUCUUAGGAGCAAAUUUAGAUUUUCUACCUCUUUUGACAAGAAUAAGGCAUUUGCUACCAAAGACUCUAAAAUAUGAAAUGUUGGGCUUUUUACUGGUUAGGAGUUCGUAUGAUGUCUUCUUGAGGAUUCGGUGUAGAUAUAACCGGUUGAUGGCGUAGCAAGCAGUGUUGACCGCCUCGGCCCAAAACCGAUCCGAAGUCUUGUACUCAUCAAGCAUGGUUCUUGCCAUAUCCAAUAGAGUUCGAUUCUUCCUCUCCACUACACCAUUUUGUUGUGGCGUGUAGGGAGAAGAGAACUCAUGCUUGAUGCCCUCCUCCUCAAGGAAGCCUUCAAUUUGUGAGUUCUUGAACUCCGUCCCGUUUUCGCUUCUAAUUUUCUUGAUCCUCAAGCCGAACUCAUUUUGAGCCCGUCUCAAGAAUCCCUUUAAGGUUUCUUGGGUAUGAGAUUUUUCCUGCAAAAAGAACACCCAAGUGAAGCGAGAAUAAUCAUCCACAAUAACUAGACAGUACUUACUCCCGCCGAUGCUUACAUAAGCUAUCGGGCCGAAUAGAUCCAUGUGUAGGAGCUCGAGUGGCCUGUCAGUAGUCAUGAUGUUCUUGUGUGGAUGAUGGGCACCAACUUGCUUCCCUGCUUGGCAUGCGCUACAAAUCUUGUCUUUCUCAAAAUGAACAUUUGUUAAUCCUAAAAUGUGUUCUCCCUUUAGAAGCUUAUGAAGAUUCUUCAUCCCAACAUGGGCUAGUCGGCGGUGCCAGAGCCAACCCAUGUUAGUCUUAGCAAUUAAGCAAGUGUCGAGUUCAGCUCUAUCAAAAUCUACCAAGUACAGCUGACCCUCCAACACUCCCUUAAAUGCUAUUGAAUCAUCACUUCUUCUAAAUACAGUGACACCUACAUCAAUGAAUAGACAGUUGUAGCCCAUUUGACAUAAUUGAGAAACGGAAAGUAAAUUGUAAUCUAAUGAAUCUACAAGAAAAACAUUGGAAAUAGAAUGGUCAGGAGAUAUAGCAAUUUUACCCAAUCCUUUGACCAAACCUUGAUUUCCAUCCCCGAAUGUGAUAGCUCGUUGGGGAUCUUGGUUUUUCUCAUAGGAAGAGAACAUCUUCUUCUCCCCUGUCAUGUGGUUUAUGCACCCGCUAUCGAUGAUCCAACUUGAGCCCCCGGAUGCAUAAACCUACAAAACAUGUUUAGUUCUUGACUUUAGGUACCCAAAUGGUUUUGGGUCCUUUGGCAUUAGACACAAGAACUUUGGGUACCCAAACACAAGUCUUUGAUCCCUUGUGCUUGCCCCCAAUAUACUUGGCAACUACCUUGCCGGAUUUGUUGGUUAAGACAUAAGAUGCAUCAAAGGUUUUAAAUGAAAUGUCAUGAUCAUUUGAUGCAUCAGGAGUUUUCUUCUUAGGCAACUUAGCACGGGUUGGUUGCCUUGAACUAGAUGUCUCACCCUUAUACAAAAAUGCAUGGUUAGGGCCAGAGUGAGACUUCCUAGAAUGAAUUCUCCUAAUUUUGCUCUCGGGAUAACCGGCAGGGUAUAAAAUGUAACCCUCGUUAUCCUGAGGCAUGGGAGCCUUGCCCUUAACAAAGUUGGACAAUUUCUUAGGAGGGGCAUUAAUUUUGACAUUGUCCCCCUUUUGGAAGUCAAUGCCAUCCUUAAUGCCAGGGCGUCUCCCACUAUAGAGCAUGCUUCUAGCAAAUUUAAAUUUUUCAUUUUCGAGUUCAUGCUCGGCAAUUUUAGCAUCUAAUUUUGCUAUAUGAUCAUUUUGUUGUUUAAUUAAAGCCAUGUGAUCAUGAAUAGCAUUACUAUCAACAUCUCUACAUCUAGUGCAAAUAGAAGUAUGUUCAACGGUAGAUGUAGAGGGUUUGCAAGAUUUUAAUUCUACAGCCUUAGCAUGCAAUAUGUCAUUUUUACUUCUAAGGUCGGAAAUGGUUGCAUUGCAAACAUCAAAAUCUUUAGCCUUAGCAAGCAAUUUUUCAUUUUCAUUUCUAAGGCUAGCAAGAGAAAUGUUCAAUUCUUCAAUCUUAGCAAGCAAAUCAUCAUUAUCAUUUCUAAGAUUGGGAAUUGAAACAUUACAAGCAAUGGAAUCAACCUUAGCUAACAAAUUAGCAUUCUCAUUUCUAAGGUUGUCUACAGUCUCAUGGCAAGUGCUUAGUUCACUAGAUAAUUUUUCACAUUUUUCAACUUCUAGAGCAUAAGAAUUUUUAACUUUAACAUGCCUUUUGUUUUCCUUGAUUAGGAAGUCCUCUUGGGAGUCCAAGAGAUCAUCCUUCUCAUGGAUGGCACUAAUUAAUUCAUUUAAUUUCUCUUUUUGUUGCAUGUUUAAGUUGGCAAAAAGAGUACGCAAAUUAUCUUCCUCAUCACUAGCAUUAUCAUCGCUAGAAGACUCAUAUCUAGUGGAGGAUUUGGAUUUAACCUUCUUCUUUUUGCCGUCCUUUGCCAUGAGGCACUUAUGGCCGACGUUGGGGAAGAGAAGUCCCUUGGUGACGGCGAUGUUGGCGGCGUCCUCGUCGUCGGAGGAGUCGCUAGAGCUUUCGUCGGAGUCCCACUCGCGACAAACAUGGGCAUCGCCGCCCUUCUUCUUGUAGUACCUCUUCUUCUCCUUUCUUCUCCCCUUCUUGUCGUCACCCCUGUCACUGUCACUAGAUAUAGGACAUUUUGUAAUAAAAUGACCAGGCUUACCACAUUUGUAGCAAACCUUCUUGGAGCGGGGCUUGUAAUCUUUCCUCCCUCCUUUGCUUGAGGAUUUGGCGGAAGCUUUUGAUGACAAGCGCCAUUUCCUCGUUGUCGAGCUUGGAGGCGUCGAUGGGUGUUCUACUUGGUGUAGACUCCUCCUUCUUCUCCUCCGUCGCCUUGAAUGCGACCGGUUGUGCUUCGGACGUGGAGGGACCGUCAAGCUCGUUGAUCUUUCGUGAGCCCUUGAUCAUAAACUCAAAGCUCACAAAAUUCCUGAUUACUUCCUCGGGAGUCAUUAGUGUGUAUCUAGGAUUGCCACGAAUUAAUUGAACUUGAGUAGGGUUAAGGAAAAUAAGUGAUCUUAAAAUAACCUUAACCACCUCGUGGUCAUCCCAUUUCUUGCUCCCGAGGUUGCGCACUUGAUUCACCAAGGUUUUGAGCCGGUUGUACAUAUCUUGAGGCUCCUCCCCUUGGCGAAGACGGAAGCCACCGAGCUCCCCCUCGAUCGUUUCCCGCUUGGUGAUCUUGGUUAGCUCAUCACCCUCGUGCACGGUCUUGAGCACGUCCCAAACUUCCUUGGCGCUCUUUAAUCCUUGCACCUUGUUGUACUCCUCCCUACUUAGAGAAGCGAGGAGUAUGGUUGUGGCUUGGGAGUUGAAGUGCUCGAUUUGGGCCACCUCGUCCUCAUCAUAAUCCUCAUCGCCGAUGGAUGGUACCUGUGCUCCAAACUCAACAACAUUCCAUAUACUUUUGUGGAGUGAGGUUAGAUGAAAUUUCAUUAAAUCACUCCACCUAGCAUAAUCUUCACCGUCAAAGGUUGGCGGUUUGCCUAAUGGAACGGAAAGCAAUGGAGUAUGUCUAGAGGUGCGAGGGUAAUGUAAGGGAAUCUUACUAAACUUCUUGCGCUCAUGGCGCUUAGAAGUUACGGAGGGCGUGUCGGAGCCGGAGGUGGAAGGUGAUGACGUAUCGGUCUCGUAGUAGACCACCUUCCUCAUCUUCUUUUUCUUGUCGCGACUCUGAUGCGACUUGUGGGAAGAGGCUUUCUUCUCCUUCCCUUUCCCCUUUUUGCGGGACUCUUCCGAUGAAGCCUUCCCGUGGCUUGUAGUGGGCUUUUCGCCGGUCUCCAUCUCCUUCUUGGCGUGUUCUCCCGACAUCACUUCGAGCGGUUAGGCUCUAAUGAAGCACCGGGCUCUGAUACCAAUUGAAAGUCGCCUAGAGGGGGUGAAUAGGGCGAAACUGAAAUUUACAAAGUUAAUCACAACUACAAGCCGGGUUAGCGUUAGAAAUAUAAUCAAGUCCGCGAGAGAGGGUGCAAAACAAAUCGCAAGCGAAUAAAGAGUAUGACACGUGGAUUUGUUUUACCGAGGUUCAGUUUUAGCAAACCUACUCCCCGUUGAGGUGGUCACAAAGAUCGGGUCUCUUUCAACCCUUUCCCUCUCUCAAACGGUCCCUCGGACCGAGUGAGCUUUCUCUUCUCAAAUCAACCGGGAACAAAACUUCCCCGCAAGGACCACCACACAAUUGGUGUCUCUUGCCUUGGUUACAAGUGAGUAUUGAUCACAAGAAAGAAUGAGAAAGAAGAAAGCAAUCCAAGCGCAAGAGCUCAAAAGAACACGACAAAUCACUCUCACUUGACACUAAAGCUUUUGUGGAAUUGGGAGAGUAUUUGAUCACUUGGGUGUGUCUUGUAUUGAAUGCCUAGCUCUUGUAAGUGGUUGGAAGUUGGAAAACUUGGAUAACUUGAAUGUGGGGUGGUUGGGGGUAUUUAUAACCCCAACCACCAAACUAGCCGUUUGGUGAAGGCUGCUGUCGCAUGGCGCACCGGAUAGUCCGGUGCGCCACUCGCCAGCCACGUCACCAGGCUGUUGGGUUCCGACCGUUGGAGCUCUGACUGCUAGGCCCGCCUGGAUGUCCGGUGGCACACUGGACAUGCACUGUAGAGUGUUCGGUGCACCACUUCGCGCGUGCCUGACUUCUGCGCGCUCUGGUGCGCAUUAAAUAACUCUGCAGGUGACCGUUGGCGCGAAGUAGCCGUUGCUCCGCUGGCUCACCGGACAGUCCGGUGCACACCGGACAUGUCCGGUGAAUUAUAGCGGAGCGAAUUCCCGAAGCUGGCGAGUUCCAGAGACGCUUCAUUCCUGGAGCACCGGACACUGUCCGGUGUACACCGGACAGUCCGGUGAAUUAUAGCGGAGCGCCUCCGGAUUUUCCCGAAGGUGAAGAGUUUGGCUUGAAGUCCCCUGGUGCACCGGACACUGUCCGGUGGCACACCGGACAGUCUGGUGCGCCAGACCAGGGCUGCCUUCGGUUAACCCUUGCUCUCUUUAUUGAACCCAAUUCUUGGUCUUUUUAUUGGCUAAGUGUGAACCUUUGGCACCUGUAUAACUUAUACACUAGAGCAAACUAGUUAGUCCAAUUAUUUGUGUUGGGCAAUUCAACCACCAAAAUCAAUUAGGAAAUAGGUGUAAGCCUAAUUCCCUUUCACUUAGGUUCAAACACCACCUCCUACCCCAUAUUUUUUUAAUAUUUUACGCUAAUUUUAACCACCCGACUGGUAACGGGCCGGACGUGAAAGUUGUGUGGAUGGAAGGAUGCAAGGUUAAUUUUAGAUGUGAGGGGUUGUUUGUAAAAAUAUGACGUAAGACGACCGUUAAAACUGGUGCUUUAAGUAUAGUAGAGAUAUGGUGUGGACAAAAAAUACAGCAAAUUUUAGUGUCGUCCUCUUCAUAGACUCACUCGACCAGUGCAAGUAGCCAGUAGAGGAACAUAAGGUCCGAAGCAGUCGUCGUCUCUCGUCUCUUCUCGGAAUCGCAUGUUGCGCACAGGGGUUGGAGGCGAGGACGCUUUUGUGAUCAUGUUCGGCCUCUCCUGCGUUGUUGUGACCCGAGGAUUUGUGGGUUGCUUCUUGCUUUUGAAUCUGACUCAUUUUUAUGAUCUUUUAAUUCAGGUGGGAAGAGGGGGUAGGGAAGAAGAGAAGAGGUGGUGGUGGGUGGAAGAAGUCGUAGAGAAUGAGCGAGGAGAGGUCGGUGUUGUGGCGAGAGAGUCGGUGGGGUAUGCCCGAAGGUGACACGCGACAGCCGAAGGCGCACCGCCGCAACUAGGACGGAUAUCACCGAAACCAUACAUACAUACGUACGUACAUACAUACAUACAUACAUACAUACAUACAUACAUACAUACAUACAUACAUACAUACAUACAUACAUACAUACAUACAUACAUACAUACAUACAUACAUACAUACAUACAUACAUACAUACAUACAUACACACACACACACACACACACACACACACACACACACACACACAUACAUACAUACAUACAUACAUACAUACAUACAUACAUACAUACAUACAUACAUACAUACAUACAUACAUACAUACAUACAUACAUACAUACAUACAUACAUACAUACAUACAUACAUACAUACAUACAUACAUACAUACAUACAUACAUACAUACAUACAUACAUACAUACAUACAUACAUACAUACAUACAUACAUACAUACAUACAUUUAUUUGGAUUUGGAUUCGAACGGAUAGCUUCGAAUACGAAUAAAAAUACAGAUGUUCUUGGAUACAAAUACAAAUAAUCGUGUGUCGAAUACAGAACUAGUCGAAUACGAAUAGAAUAACGUCGGUAAAGAAUAUUUUUGUCGAGUAUGGUGUUAGACACCAUUCCACACGUAUCAUAGUUCUUGUAAUAAUUUAGCCCCUCUUGAGUACAAACAUUAGAUGCAAUUAAAUUCAUAAAAUAGUUUAGGUGUUGACCGAAAAUUGUAAAUAAGUGAGUAUGUCACAUGGAUUUGUUUUUACCGAGGUUCGGUUUUAGCAAACCUACUCCCCGUUGAGGUGGUCACAAAGACCGGGUCUCUUUCAACCCUUUCCCUCUCUCAAACGGUCCCUCGGACCGAGUGAGCUUUCUCUUCUCAAAUCAACCGGGAACAAAACUUCCCCGCAAGGACCACCACACAAUUGGUGUCUCUUGCCUUGGUUACAAGUGAGUAUUGAUCACAAGAAAGAAUGAGAAAGAAGAAAGCAAUCCAAGCGCAAGAGCUCAAAAGAAUACGACAAAUCACUCUCACUUGACACUAAAGAUUUUGUGGAAUUGGUAGAGUAUUUGAUCACUUGGGUGUGUCUUGUAUUGAAUGCCUAGCUCUUGUAAGUGGUUGGAAGUUGGAAAACUUGGAUAACUUGAAUGUGGGGUGGUUGGGGGUAUUUAUAACCCCAACCACCAAACUAGCCGUUUGGUGAAGGCUGCUGUCGCAUGGCGCACCGGACAGUCCGGUGCGCCACCUGCCAGCCACGUCACCAGGCUGUUGGGUUCCGACCGUUGGACCUCUGACUGCUGGGCCCGCCUGGAUGUCCGGUGGCACACCGGACAUGCACUGUAGAGUGUCCGGUGCACCACUUCGCGCGUGCCUGACUUCUGCGCGCUCUGGUGCGCAUUAAAUAACUCUGCAGGUGACCGUUGGCGCGAAGUAGCUAUUGCUCCGCUGGCUCACCGGACAGUCCGGUGCACACCGGACAUGUCCGGUGAAUUAUAGCGGAGCGAAUUCCCGAAGCUGGCGAGUUCUAGAGACGCUUCAUUCCUGGAGCACCGGACACUGUCCGGUGUACACCGGACAGUCCGGUGAAUUAUAGCGGAGCGCCUCCGAAUUUUCCCGAAGGUGAAGAGUUUGGCUUGAAGUCCCCUGGUGCACCGGACACAGUCCGGUGGCACACCGGACAGUCCGGUGCGCCAGACUAGGGCUACCUUCGGUUAACCCUUGCUCUCUUUAUUGCCAAUUCUUGGUCUUUUUAUUGGCUAAGUGUGAACCUUUGGCACCUGUAUAACUUAUACACUAGAGCAAACUAGUUAGUCCAAUUAUUUGUGUUGGGCAAUUCAACCACCAAAAUCAAUUAGGAAAUAGGUGUAAGCCUAAUUCCCUUUCAAUCUCCCCCUUUUUGGUGAUUGAUGCCAACACAAACCAAAGCAAGUAUAGAAGUGCAUAAUUGAACUAGUUUGCAUAAUGUAAGUGCAAAGGUUACUUGGAAUUGAGCUAAUAAAACUACUCAUAAGAUAUGCAUGGAUUGUUUCUUCAUUUUUAUUAUUUUGGACCACGCUUGCACCACAUGUUUUGUUUUUGCAAAUUCUUUUGUAAAUCCUUUUCAAAGUUCUUUUGCAAAUAGUCAAAGGUAAAUGAAUUAGAUUUUGCGAAGCAUUUUCAAGAUUUGAAAUUUUCUCCCCUUGUUUCAAGUGCUUUUCCUUUGACUAAAAUAAACCCCCCCUUGAUAAAUUCCUCCUCUUAGUGUUCAAGAGGGUUUUAAGAUAUUGAUUUUGAGAAUACCAUUCUCUCCCUCUUUUGAACACAAUGAGAUACCAAUUUGAAAAAUCAUAUCAAUUAAAAACUCUCUCUAAAAUUAGUACCAAUUGAAAACCAAAAAAAAUUUAAAUGGGUGGUGGUGCGAUCCUUUUGCUUUGGGCUAAUUCUCUCUCCCCCUUUGGCAUGAAUCGCCAAAAACGGAGUCAUUAGAGCCCUUUCAAUAACUAUUUUCUCCCCCUUUGGUAAAAGACAUAAGAGUGAAGAUUAUACCAAAGACGGAGUCCUUUUGUACUUAGGCUCUCUCCCCCAAAGAUGGAGAGUUGCCCAGAGCGACGGCGAAGGAUGAGUUACGGAGUGGAAGCCUUUGUCUUCGCUGAAAACUCCUAUUUCCUUUCAAUACACCUAUGACUUGGUUUGAAAUAGACUUGAAAACACAUUAGUCAUAGCAUAUGAAAGAGACAUGAUCAAAGGUAUAUGAAUGAGCUAUGUGUGCAAAUCAACAAAAGAAGUUCCUAAAAUCAAGAAUAUUUAGUUCAUGCCUGUUGGGGACUUGUUCUCAAAUGCUAUGAAUUAAGAACAAGGCAACAUAAAAUGUUAAAUAUCAAAGUCCUUCGUCCGCUGAAACAUUAUUUCCUCAAGGAUUUAAUGAACUUCGAACGAAGGUUAUAAUGACACGAUUACGAAGAUUAUAUCUUCGUAAUUGAACUCUCAAAGAUAAUAUAAAACAACACGAGACAUAAAGCAUUAAAGAUAAGUAAAUUAGAAAUGAACAACAUCAUUUAUAUAUUAUGUAAACUUAAAAUAUUCAAAUAUAAUAUUUAGGUGCAUUUAUACCUCUGCCUUGGCAAAGAAUAAUUUCUGAGUGAUGCGAUUGCAAUUACAGGAAUCCGUGAACAGUAAAGGAAUACUGUUCACUAUUUAUAGGCACAGGACACAGCCUAUGAGCAAUUACAAUCAUACCCCUCAUAAAAGAUUACAACAACGACUCAAACUCUUACGGACUAAAAGGUCAUUCUAUCUUUAAGUCGGUUUGUAAUUCCGAAGCUUCAUGAACGGCACCCUUCGGCAUCACGUACAAACAGCUUCAGCCGAAGCUGUUUCUUCCUGCAGGACCUUCGGUGACGAAGCAUGGUCCCAACAGUAGCCCCUUCGUGGUGCUAGAUCGUUUUUCGUAACGAGCUUGAUCCGUGAAAAAAGUCUCUUAGGCUUCAGGAAGCCGAAGGUCCGAAAAACACCUUCCCUGAGCUCGUUGUCGAGAAACGAUACAGGUUCACUAUUUUGGUCUUUGCGGCCCACCGCGCAGCGGGUGCGAGCAGCUGUUUGCCUGGUGUAAAGAUCCUGACGAUUCACCUUCUUACCUGCAGCACUAUAUAAACAGACAGGUAGGUGUGAAGUUACCACAGCAUUCAUUGCUAUUGCACUGUUUUGCUGCCAAAAAUUUUAACCAUAACCGAAGCUUAACUCUCGCAUUCAGACGAAACUCCAGUUUGGUGCCUACUUCGUCAGAAAAAGCUUUGGGAAAAAAGGUUAUUUAAUUCCCAAGAAAUCUUUCAAGAAAUUCAAAAUUAAAUGGCCAGAGUGCGCUCUACUGCUAGAGUUGAGCGCGAGGGUGGCGAAGCCGAAGGAGCGGAGACUGUUCCUAUCUCCGAAGCAAUGCAGCGAUCCGGAUUGGUGACUUCGGAAAGAAUCCCUACUGCCGAGACAAAACAAGCUGCUGCCGAAGCGGAACAAGGAGAUAUUGAGGAAGCUGAUUCUGACGGUGAUUACCAUAUCGCAGUACCGAGCAAGCCUAGCCAUUUGGACUUCGGAAAAUCGACUAUCUCCAAGGCUGAUUUUUCCAAAAUGGUGAAGUCGGGCUAUUUCAGUGAAGAUGAGAAGAAGCUGAUUCGCUUCGAGGGAGAAGAAACUACCCCGAAGCUAGAAAAGGAUGAAAUAGUUAUUUUCAAGAGUUUUCUAAAAGCUGGGUUGAGAUUUCCUUUAAAUAAGAUGAUUUCUGAUGUGCUGCAAAAGUUUGGGAUCUAUUUUCACCAACUGACUCCUAACGCCAUUGUCAGACUUAGCGUUUAUAUCUGGCCUCUCUGAAGCCAGGCUGUGGAGCCGUUUGCCGACAGCUUCUGUCGAGUACAUGAGCUGCAUUACCAGACUAAGGCCAGGAAGGAUGGGUUGCAUGAAAAUUUUGGUUGUUAUAAUUUUGCCUAUCGGAAAACCACAAAAAUUCCUGUGAUUAGCUACCGAAGCAAAUGGCCGGCAGGCUGGAAGUCAGAAUGGUUUUAUGUCAAAGUUGACGAUGACAAAGAGAAGCUGGUUCAGAGCCCUCUUGAAUUGAUCUUCGGAGAAACCAGACCCCGAUGCAAUAUGGCAGCAGAAGGUCCAACUUGGACCGCACUGGCUGAAUUCAAAAUUAUUGCAGAACAUAUUGGCACUAGAGAUUUAGUGCAGGAGUUUCUGGCCUUCAGAGUAUUUCCAACUAUGAAGGAGUGGACUAUGCCGAAGCUUAAAGGAGAAAAGAAAGAGGGGGAGCUUGUCCGACUAGCCUAUUAUUAUAAGUUUAAGAAAUAUUUUAAAGCACCCUGCCAAGAAUGGCUCGAUACAAUCGAAGUAAUGAGUAAUGAAAUUCUUGGAAAUUACUCCAAAAAAGAAGACCAGCUGAUGACAGCAGCCUUCGGCACUCGGCCGAAGCGAAGGCUGAACAGGGUGCUUGAUGCUAUAGGAUUUGAAUAUGCUGAUUAUGGUCGACUGAGCGGAGAUGCUGGAGGCCCGAAGCGAAAAAGAAUUGCCAGCGUUGCUGACGAAGAGGUUGCCAAGGUAGUUAAAAAGAAAAGGGGAGAUUCUGAAAAACUUAGCCCUGAAGAGUUGAACCCUGAGCCGAAGGUGGCCACUGCAAGAAAGAGGAAAACUGCAUCUCCAGAACCAAAAACGUUGGUUCAAGAAGAAGAUACUCCUGCAACGCCUUCUGCUGUUGAAGUAGAAGAGAUUAUGAAGGUAAUGACUGAACCCUUGCCUGUCAAGCUAAGUCCGCUGGCGCGGGAACUGACGAAGUUUUUUCAGAAGGACAAGGCAGCUUCGGCAGAAGAAGGUCCUGCACUGCCGAAAAAAUGAAGGAUUAUUCAAAUAGCAGAUGUAAUUCAUGGGACACCGUCACCGACACCAGCAUCAAGAAUUGCUAUUGACCAGACUGUCGAAACCGCCGAAGCUAAAGGCGCCGCAACCGAAGCCACCAGAGCGGAAACCUUCGAAGCUGAAACUGGCGCAGCCGAAGCUGCUGGGGUUGAAACCGGGGCCACAGAAGAUCCGAACCUGGAAGAGACACUUGAAGUUAUUGAUAACAUACUCCUAAAAAUGACUGAGGAAGAAUCUGUUGUGGCCGCGGCGAGCACAGCUACUGAAAAGGGAAAAAAACAAGCUGAAGACAUUUUGGAGGAAGAAGAUUUUGAAUUUCAAGAUUUACUUGGGCAAGAACUGACAGACGUUGAAAAAGCGGAGCUUAAAAAAUGUGCCAUAGCCUGCGGAUAUAAGCCAGAGGCUACACUGUUCGGUGGGGUUAACGAAGGAAAGCUGAGGUGCCUUCGAAACCGCAGCGAAGCUAAAAUUGUUAGAACUCUCUGCAAAAACAUUGGCUUGCCGAAGCUGUAAGCGGACCUCUGCCGUUACCAACGGCACCAUAUCGCCGGAAGCUUGCUUUAUGCUAACUUCAAGGUAACAAAUAUUUUUGUUAUUUUAUUAUUAUUAUUAUUAUUAUUAUUAUUAUUAUUAUUAUUAUUAUUAUCUUUUAGGCCGUUUUCUAACGAAGAUCAUUUUGACAGAGCAUAUUAUUAAGUAAGGUUCUAAAAAUGCAACAAGAUCUCGAAGAAGAGAAGAACAAAGCCGUCAUCCAAAAUUUGGCUGAAAAAGUUGAAAAUUACGAAGCUGAUCUGAAAAAGAAGGAUUUCACCAUCCAAGAUCUUGAAAUGAUGGUCAAAGAGCACGAAGGUGCAUUAGAAAAGAAAGAUUUUGUUAUUCAGACUAUGGAGGGUUCUUUGGCUGAAGUCCAAACUGAGAAUAACAGCUUGAAGAAUGAAUUGCUCCAACAGUCAGAAAAAUUUGAGCAAGAAAAGAAAUAUCUUGAAGCAAGCCUGAAAACUGAGGUGGAUAAAAAUUUAAAUUUGCAGAAAUCCUUUAAAGAACUUCAAGAGAAAUGCCUAAGCUUCGGCAGCCGAUGCGUCCAACGGCUGAAGGAUGUGUUUCAUUCUGUCGGAGCCAGCUCUGCAAAAUUUACACCUUCGGCUGAAAAUCUGCCCAGCACGCUAGAAUAUAUUGAAGGCGAGGUUGAUGCCCUUGACGAAGUUAUUGGUGGGCAUGCCGACUCCUGCGCCCUGGUAGCUUCUCGGGGCACAGCCACCGCUUUUCUGAAGGCUGGCUGCACACAUGGAAAUAUUGUGAACAGACCAAACUUCAGCUUGUCAGCAUCAGAUCUGAUAGAUAUCCCAAGCCUAGCCCGAAGCAUUGGAAAUAUAUUCAUGACCCAGAUCUGGGUAAGUGGCGGGCGAAAAAUGGCGGGUGACGAAGCUCGAAGUCAUCUUAACCCGGUAAGAAACUUAUGUUUGUUACUUUUACCUUCUCCUUGAAAUUUGCACCUUUCUUAUUCUGCUGUUUGAUAUACGCAGGAUGACGAAGCUGAAGAAUGACGAAGCUGAAGUUUGACGAAGUCUAGCCUGAAGCUUGAUAAUUGUUUACAAUAUACUUUCCUAUAAAAAUUCUGGAGAAACUUUUGUGAUAUAGUUAUGGAACAAGUCCCCAACAUUGGCGCCCACCUCCGGUGAACUCAUUUCCACUUUCCUGAGACAAUGGCUUCGUUCAAGAACCAAGCUGGAGCUGCUUCGGCUCCGAAGCUGAUUCUCCCGAUAACAGGCGGUUCAUGCUCAGAGCCGGCUAACAAGAAACAGAAGAAGGAGGCACAGAGAAGAGUACAGCAUGUUGGAGUGCAGGGACCCUUCAUCAAGUCAAGAUGGUCCCACAUUCCAAUCACCUUCUCCCAAGAGGAUCUUCAGCUCAAGGAUUUUCCUCAUAACGAUGCUAUGGUUAUUUCUUGCGUUAUCAAAGGGUUUCUGGUCCACAAUGUCUUGGUUGAUACAGGCAGUGCAGCUGAUAUUAUAUUUGCUAAGGCCUUCAGACAAAUGCAAGAGCCAGAAGAUAAGAUUCAUGAUGCUACGCACCCUCUCUGUGGCUUCGGAGGAAGACAGAUUGUAGCACUGGGCAAAAUCACCAUGCCAGUGACCUUCGGGUUCAUCAACAACACCAGAACUGAACAAGUUGUGUUUGACAUUGUUGACAUGGAAUACCCUUACAAUGCAAUUAUUGGUCGUGGCACCCUCAAUGCUUUUGAAGCAAUUCUUCAUCCUGCUUACCUUUGCAUGAAGAUACCUUCGGAUCAAGGACCCAUUGCUAUUCAUGGAAGUCAGGAAGCUGCCAGAAGGGUCGAGGGAAACUGGACUGACUCAAAAGCAAUCCAUAAUAUAGAUGGAGCUGAAGCCUGUGAACAGUACAAAUUCAGAAGGGAGAAAGCAGCUUCGGCAGAUCAGCUGAAGCCCAUGCUCUUAUGUGAGGACAUAGCAGAGCAGAAGGUGCUGUUGGGCUCCCAAUUAUCCGAAGAACAGGAGAAAACCUUGAUAAGGUUUUUGUUCAACAACAAAGAUGUUUUUGCAUGGUCAGCCAAUGAUCUUUGCGGAGUUAACAGGGAUGUUAUUGAACACUCGCUCAAUGUUGACCCAUCCUUUAGACCCAGAAAGCAGAGGCUUCGGAAAAUGUCUGAAGACAAGGCCGAAGGAGCUCGGAACGAAGUCAAAAGACUCCUCAGUGCAGGAGUUAUCAGAGAAGUAAAGUACCCAGAAUGGCUAGCUAACACUGUUAUGGUAAAAAAGGCCAAUGGCAAAUGGCGGAUGUGUAUCGACUUUACGGAUCUCAACAAGGCCUGUCCGAAGGACGAAUUCCCAUUGCCAAGGAUAGACUCCUUAGUUGAUGCAGCAGCUUCGUCAGAGCUUAUGAGUCUUCUAGAUUGUUAUUCAGGCUAUCAUCAAAUUUGGAUGAAGAAGGAGGAUGAGCCGAAGACCAGUUUCAUAACUCCCAGUGGAACAUAUUGUUACCUUCGGAUGCCCGAGGGGCUCAAGAACGCUAGAGGAAGUUUCAGCCGAAUGACUGUGAAGGUUCUUCAGUCUCAGAUAGGCAGAAAUGUGCUAACUUAUGUUGAUGAUAUCAUUGUAAAAAGCACGAAACAAGAAAAUCACAUUGCUGAUUUGCAGGAGACCUUCGCCAGUUUUAAACAAGCUGGUCUGAAGCUGAAUCCAGAAAAAUGUGUCUUUGGAGUAAAGAAGGGGAAAUUUCUUGGAUGUUUGGUUUCAACAAAGGGAAUUGAAGCUAAUCCAAGUAAAAUUGAAGCUAUACUUCGAAUGGAGCCACCAAAUACAAAAAAGGGGGCCCAAAGACUGACGGGGAGGCUGGCAUCUCUCAAUAGAUUCAUAUCCACAUCAGCAGAGAGAAAUUUACCAUUCUUCGAAGUGCUGAAAUCAGCCGAAGUCUUUCAAUGGGGACCAAGCCAACAAAAAGCCUUCGAGGAACUGAAGCAAUAUUUGAUAGAUUUAACAGCAUUAACUCCACCAACACCAGGGGCUCCUUUGUUAUUAUAUGUGGCAGCUUCGCACUCAGCGGUAAGUGUAGCACUUGUCCAGGAGAAGCUUGAUGGCCAAGUCAAGAAGCAGGUCCCAGUAUAUUUUGUAUCUGAGGUUCUUAGUUUAUCGAAGAAAAACUAUACAGAAUUGGAGAAGGUGUUAUAUGCUGUUUUGAUGGCAUCCAGGAAGCUUCGGCAUUACUUUCAAGCAUACAAUAUUGUUGUUCCUUCUUCGCAACCGUUGAAGGAUAUUAUGAGAAAUAGAGAAGCUACUGGACGGAUUGGAAAAUGGGCUACAGAGCUCAAUGAAUUUUGCAUAGAUUAUGUGCAUAGAUCUUCGAUCCAGUCUCAAGCGUUGGCAGAUUUCAUUGCUGACUGGACGCCAGGGGCUCAGGAUGAAGAAACAAAUAAAGAUGCCGAAGUAUGGACAGUGUUUUGCGAUGGGUCUUGGGGAACCUUCGGAGCAGGAGCAGCCGCUGUGUUGGUCUCACCAUCCAAAGUUAAAACUUGUUAUGCGGCAAGACUCGAUUUUAGUUGUACAAACAAUAUUACUGAGUACGAAGCCCUGCUUUUGGGCCUUCGGAAGUUAAAAGCAAUGGGAAUCAGAAGGGCCAUUCUUAAAACUGAUUCCCAGGUUGUUUCGGGUCAUAUCGACAAGAGUUGUAAGGCUAAAGAUCCGAAGCUUGAAAAGUAUCUAGACACGGUCCGAAGGAUUGAAGCUUCCUUCAAAGGAUUUUCUGUCAAAAAUAUCUCUCGAGGACAAAAUGAGCAUGCUGAUUUGCUAGCUAAGUCAGCAGCACAGGGGCUGCCCUUACCUUCGGAUGUGUUCUUCGAAACAAUAAAAGCACCUUCAGUGGAACUUCUUGAAAGAGCAGUCCUCAAUAUAUCUCCUGUUUAUAGUGAAGACUGGAGAACUGAGAUCAUCUCUUAUCUUCAGGGUAACUUCCUUUCAGAUGACGAAACUUAUAACAGGAGGAUAGAGGCAAGAGCUCGUCCAUAUGUCAUGAUAGAAGGGGAGUUGUACAAGCAUGGAGUUUGUGCUCCAUUACUCAAGUGUUUAUCUAGAGCCGAAGGCAUAGAAUUGAUGAAAGAAAUACAUGCAGGCCUGUGUGGAUCUCACAUUGGGUCUAGGUCGUUACUUGGAAAAGUUUUCCGUCAAGGGUUUUAUUGGCCGAAGGCAGCUUCGGAUGCAGCGGAAUUAGUUCAAAAGUGCGAAGGUUGUCAGAAAUGUGCAGGAGAUCAAAAACAACCUUCGUCUCUAACUCAACUGAUACAACCCAUCUGGCCGUUGCAAAGGUGGGGCCUUGACUUGUUAGGUCUGUUACCACCGGCCUAAGGAAACUUAAGAUAUGUUGUAGUGGCUGUGGAAUAUUUUUCUAAAUGGAUUGAGGCAAAGCCUUUAGCCACAAUAACUUCGGCCACCAUUCAAAAGUUUUUCUGGCAGAAUAUUGUUUGUCGUUUCGGAGUACCAAAGGCCAUCACUGUAGAUAAUGGAACACAAUUUGACUCCGAAGCUUUCAGAGAAUUCUGUGAUCAAAUUGGCACGAAGAUCCAUUUUGCAUCAGUCAGGCAUCCGGAGUCAAAUGGACUUGUUGAAAGAGCCAAUGGCAUCAUAAUGACAGGAAUAAUGAAGUUAAUCUUCAAUCAACCCAGGGAAAAGUGGCCAGAUCAAUUAAUCAAAGUGGUAUGGAGCCACAACACAACAACAUCAAGGUCAACAGGCUUUACUCCAUUCAAAUUAUUGUUUGGUGACAAAGCAAUAACUCCAGAGGAAGCUAAAACUGGAUCAAUAAGAGUAGUAGCUUCGGCAGAAUCAGAUUCUGAAGCUGAUCAUUCUGUGGAAAAAGAUGCUAUAGAAGGGAUCAGGCUUCAAGCUGUGGAGAACAUCAAUAAAUAUCAAGCCGAAACAAUCAAAUGGCGUGAUAGAAAGGUUCGGCUAAAGAAUAUUGAGCCAGGACAUUUGGUGCUUCGGAGAGUGGCUAACCCAGAUACAGUGGGCAAGUUGCAGUUGAAAUGGGAGGGACCUUUUUUGGUAGUAUCUUCGUCAAGACCCGGUUCAUACAGAUUGAAGGAUAUGGACGGCAACGACAUUCCUAGAUCUUGGAAUGCGGAUGAGCUUCAGCGAUAUUAUGUAUAACUCGAUGUAAUUUUUUAUAUUUUUUAUUUUUCUUUCAUGGCACCCUUUUCCUUUCUAAAGGGGGAGAAAGGUUUUUAAUGGGGCCAUCACAUGUAAUUUCCUUUUUUAGCUCUAUAAGAGCAAAAUCCCCCAAAGAUGUAAAUGUAAAAACUGAGAACGCACCAUCGAGUGCCGAAAAGAAACAGGGAAGAAGCUCGAAAGCCGUCCCUAAGGGGAUGCGGAGCACGACGAAGCUACUAAAAAAGUCGCUCCAAAGGGAGCGCAGUGUAAGUUUUCUGCUCAAAAGUCGUUCCAAAGGGAAUGCGGAGCUUACAGCGAAAAGUCAACGCUGAUACCGCCGAAAGUAAAAGGCGAAGAAGCUCCUAAGGGAGGCUUACAGCGAAAAGUCAACGCUGAUACCGCCGAAAGUAAAAGGCGAAGAAGCUCCUAAGGGAGGCUUACAGCGAAAAGUCAGCGCUGAUAUCUAAUUGUUUCUAAGGAAAUAACGGUUGUGAUUAUGGCUUCGGAUAUGUGUUUGGACAUUCAUUUGCACACCACAUUACAUCAUAACAUUUGCAUUCAUAAACAUUCAUCCAGGCAUAUGUAGGAUAACCAUCGUCAUAGCAUAAGUGGUUGCUUCGGCAAAAAGGAAAAAAACUGUCUUUUGUACUUCGUUGUGUACGAAAAGAGGAGCUUCGGCAAAAAGAAAAGGCUAUUUUUUAUGCUUCGCUGUGUACGAAAAGAAGGGAAGGUGUUUUUUCGCCUUCGUCUCAAAAAGAUAAUUCCGUCCACAUCAAAGCACCUCAUACAUUAAUGGAAGGGUAAGAGCAUAUUACAAGGUAUGAACAAAGUUCAUUAAGAACUGUUUAGCCAUAUUUACAAAAGUUAUUUCAAAAGUUUCUUGAGUUUUUCUAUAGACUACUCCUACUGAUCUUCAUGGGGCCUCAGAUUUGGCGUCGUACUCUAAGCAUCGGUCUCGGCUUCGUCAUCCUACAUGAAUUAAGUUGUUGAGAGUCAAAACCAAGUUUGAAGGAAAAGGUAAGCACAAGGUAUGAUUUCUUACUGGUUCAAGAUGACUCCGAGCUUCGUCUCCAGCCUUUUCUCGCCCGCCUUUUGUCCAUAUCAUCUUUACAAAUCUAUUAGAAAUGCUUCGGGCGAGGUCAGGAAUAUCAUCUAAAAUUGAUGGUGAUAGAGUGAAAUUGGGCCUAUUAACAAUUUUUCCAUGGUCGCAGCCAGCUUUCAGAAAAGCUGCAGCAGUGCCCCGAGAAGCUACCCAGGCACAGAAGUCACCGUGCCCGGCUAUAACUUCGUCAAGCUCAUCAAUUUCACCCUCAAUAUGUUCGAAGGUUUUUGGUAAAUCUUCAGUUGAUGGGGUGAAUUUCCCACUGCUAGCCCCGACUGAGUGGAAGAUUUUUCUCAGUCAUUGAAUACAUUUAUUGCUAAACUCCAAACAUUUGUCUUGAAGGUUUGCCAAUAAUUUUUUCAAAUCUGAAUUUUGUUGGACUUCGGCUUCAAGUUUCGCAUUAAGGUCUUGCUUUUCUUGUUCAAACUGUUCAGAUUGGCAGAGAAGCUUCGUAUUCAAUUCUGCUAUUUUAGCUUCGGCUUCUGCCAAUAAGCCUUCAGUUGUCUGAAGCUCGAAGUUUUUCUUUUCAAUAGUAGCUGAUUGCUCUUUUAAUUUGCUCUCUAAAUUUUCAAUUAUAACCUCGUGUUUUUUGUCUUCCAGAUCCUGCUGCAUUUUCAAAGCUUUACUCAACAGCAUACUCUGCACAUAAACAACCUUCGUUAGAAAUGUCUUCGUUAUUAAAAACAAUAAAAGUCAAGGAAAAAAUAGUUCACCUUGAAAUUGGAAUAAAAUAAACUACCAACGAUAUGUUGUCGUCGGUAGCGGCUAAUAUCCGUUUCUAGCUUCGGAAAACCGAUACUCUUUGAUAGAGUACCGAUAAUCUUAGCUCCAGUUUGAUCCCGGAUACAGUCUAAUUUUUCAUCGUCAAUACCCCCGAAGAGGAGUGCUCCUGGUUUAUAUCCGCAAGAUUUGGCAUAUUCUUUAAGCUCUUCUAUUUCGGUUUUUGACAGAUCUUGUCCAACUAAAUUUUGAAACAUGAAGGCUUCGUCCUCUGAAGUUUCGUAAGAGAUUUCCAUUUCUUUCCCAGACACUGCGGCCAUGGUCUCCUCGGCGGCAGUCGUAGCUUCUUCUGUGGCCAUGUUUAGCAGUAUUUUGUCGAUAUGUUCGAUUGUGGUUUCCAAGUUCAAAUCUUCGGUUGAGGUAGCUUCGGUAGCCGCGAUCUCCGAAGGUGCGACUUCAAUAUUUGUUAUUUCCUCAGCCGCUGGUAUCUUCCGAGCUGAGGCUCUCGGUGGUGUCUUGUCAAUGACUUCUGUCACUGCGAUGAUUCUUUGUCUCUUUGUUUUAGUUGUUUCCUUCGUUUUUCCGGGCUCCUUUUCCUUCUGAAAAAACUUCGUCAGUUGAGGCCCUAAUGGACUUAGCUUCACAGGCAGGGAUUCAGUCAUUACCUUCAAAAUCUCUUCCACGUCAGUGGUAGAGCGUGAUGCGGGAGUCUCUUCUUCAUCGGAUACUUUUCGCUUCGGAGAUGAUACUUUUCUCUUCUUCGGAAUUUUCUUCUCUUUUGGUGGUUCUUUCUCAUCUUCAUUUAAAGCUUCGGCUACCCUUUUCCUUUUCCGUCCUUCGACACCUUUAUUCAGUUGUUCGUAAUCAGGGUAUUCAAAACCCAAGGCGUCCAGCACUCGAUUCAGUCUUCGCUUCGGACGGGUACCAAAGGCCGCAGUCAUCAACUGAUCUUCUUUUUUGGAGUAAUUACCGAGUAUUUCAUUGCACAUUAUUUCAAUUGUGUCCAGCCACUCUUGGCAAGGUGUUUUAAAGUAUUUCUUAAACUUGUAAUAGUAAGGUAACCGCACAAGUUCCCCUUCUUUCUUCUCCCCCUCUAGCUUCGGCAUUUCCCAUUCUUUUAAAGUAGGAAAAACCCUGAAGGCCAGGAACUCUUGAACCAGGUCUCUUGUGCCAAUAUGCUCUGAAAUAAUUUUAAACUCAGCCAGUGCAGCCCAAGUGGGACCUUCUAAUGACAUUUGGCAUCGCGGUCUUGUUUCUCCGAAGAUCAAUUCAAGAGGGCUUUGUACCAGCUUCUCUUUGUCUUCGUCAACUUUCACAUAAAACCAUUCCGACUUCCAGCCUGCCGGCCAUUUGCUUCGGUAGCUGAUUACAGGAAAUUUUGUGGUUUUCCGAUAAGCAAAAUUAUAGCAACCAAAGUUAUCAUGCAAUCCAUCUUUUCUAGCCUUCGUCUGGUAGUGCAGCUCAUGAACUCGACAAAAGCUGUCGGCAAACGGCUCCAUCGCUUAGCUUCGGAGGGCCCAGAUAUAAACACUAAGCCUAACGAUAGCGUUAGGAGUCAGCUGAUGAAAGUAGAUCCCAAACUUCUUCAAUACAUCUGCAAUAAUCCCAUGGAGGGGGAAUCUCAACCCAGCCUUUAGAAAGCUCUUGAAAAUGACUAUUUCAUCCUUCUCCGGCUUCGGUGUAGUUUCUUCCCCCCUGAAGCGAAGUAGCUUCUUCUGACUCUCACUGAAAUAACCCGACUUCACCAUCUUGGAGAGAUCAGCCUUAGAGACAGUCGACUUUCCGAAGUCCAAGUGGCUGGGCUUACUGGGCAUGGCAAUAUGAUAAUCAUCUUCGGAAUCAGUUUCCUCAAUGUCUCCUUCUUCCGCUUCGGCAGUUGCCUGUUCUGUUUCAGGAGUGGGGAUUUCUUCCGAGAUUACCAGUCCGGAUCGUUGCAUCGCUUCGGAGAUGGGAACAGUCUCCGAUCCUUCAGCUUCGCCUCCCUCACGCUCAACCCUAGCGGUAGAGCGCACUCUAGCCAUUUAAUUCUGGAUUUUUUUGGGAAUUAAAUACUUUUCUUCCGAAGUUUUUCUUCUUCUGAUGAAGUAGGCUUCAAGCUGGAGCUUCGUUUGGUUUCGAGAGUCAAGCUUCGGCUAUGGUUAAAAAUUUUGGCAGCAAAACAGUGCAAAUAACAAUGAAUGCUGUGGUAACUUCACACCUACCCGUCUGUUUAUAUAGUGAUGCAGGUAAGAAGGUGAAUCACCAGGAUUUUUACACCAGGCGAACAGCUGCUUGCACCCGCUGCGCGGUGGACCACAGAGACCAAAUAGUAACUCUGCAAGGUGGGACCGCUACGCGCUCGGAAACUGAAUCGUUUCUCGACAACGAGCUCAGGGAAGGUGUUUUUUGGACCUUCGGCUUCCCGAAGCCUAAGAUACUUUUUUCACGGAUCAAGCUCGUUACGAAAAACGAUCUAGCACCGCGAAGGGGCUACUGUUGGGACUAUGCUUCAUCGCCGAAGGUCUGGUAGGAAGAAACAGCUUCGGCUGAAGCUGUCCGCAUGUGAUGACCGAAGGUUCCUCUUCAUGAAGCUUCGGAAUUACAAACCGACAUAAAAGUAGAAUGACCUUUUAGUCCAUAAAUGUUUGAGUCGCUGUUGUAAUCCCUUUUGAGGGGCGUAAUUGUAAUUCCUCACAGGCUGUGUCCCGUGUCUAUAAAUAGUGAACAAUAUUCCUUUACUGUUCACGGAUUCCUGUAAUAGUAAUCGCACCAUUCGGGAAUCAAUCUUUUGCCAAGGCAAAGGUAUAAUUGUACCCAAUGUUUGAAUGUGUUAAAUUGAUAUAAUAUGAAAGUAAUGUUGUUCGUUUAUAAUUUAUUCACUUUUGACGCUUCGUAUUUUAUAUUACUUUAAGAUUCAAUUACGAAGACUUAACCUUCGUAAUUCAUAUUGUCUUUAACCUUCGUCCAUGGCUCAUUAAUCCUUAAGGGAAUAAUGCUUCGUUGGACGAAGGACAUUAACAUUUAACAUUUUUUGUGUUGCCUUGUUCUUAAUUCAUAGCAUUUGAGAACAAGUCCCCAACAACAACUUAUGUAAAUUUGUACAUACCUUGUAAUAUAUUUUGUUUCUGCUAUCUGUGUACAAUCUGCUUUGCUGUGGACGAAACUUCUCUUUUGAGCUGAAGGCGAAAAACACCUUCCCUUCUUUUCGUACACAACGAAGCAUAAAAAUUUUCCUUCGAGUUUUUCCUCAUUGUCGAAGCAUCUGUGUUUUUUGUGUGGUAUAAUGAUGAUUCUAUAUAUGUCUAAAUGCAUGUUUAUGAAUGCAAAUGACAUGAUGAGAUGUAUUGUGCAAAUGAAUAUCAGAACACAUAUUCAAAAAACCAUAAUCAUAGCCUUUCAGCGUUGACUUUUCGCUGCAAGCCUCCCUUAGGAGCUUCUUCGCCUUUUACUUUCAGCGGAAUCAGCGCUUAUUUUUCGCUGUAAGCCUCCCUUAGGAGCUUCUUCGCCUUUUACUUUCGGCGGAAUCAACGCUUAUUUUUCGCUGUAAGCCUCCCUUAGGAGCUUCUUCGCCUUUUACUUUUGGCGGAAUCAGCGCUUAUUUUUCGAUGUAAGCUCUGCAUUCCCUUAGGAACGACUUUUGAGCUUCUCCCUGUUUCUUUUUCUUUUUUACUUUGCAUUUACAUUUACAUUUUUUGGGGGAUAUCACUCUCAUAGAAUUGAAAUAAGGAAAAUUACAUAUUGUGGCCCCAUUAAAAACCUUUCUCCCCCUUUGGGAAGGAAAAGGGUGCCGCAAAAAAGAAUAUAAAAAAUUACAUCAAGCUAAACAUAGUAUCGCCGAAGCUCAUCCGCAUUCCAUGAUCUAGGAAUGUCGUUGUCGUCCAUAUCCUUCAAUCUGUAGGAGCCGGGUUUUGACGAAGAUACUACCAAAAAGGGGCCUUCCCACUUCAGCUGUAAUUUGCCUACUGUCUCAGGGUUGGCUACUCUUCGAAGUACCAAGUGUCCUGGUUCAAUGUUCUUCAGCUUGACCUUUCUGUCACGCCAUUUUAUUGUUUCAGCUUGGUAUUUAUUGAUGUUUUCCACAGCUUGAAGUCUGAUCGCUUCAAUAGCAUCUUUUUCUAUAGAGCAAUCAGCUUCGUUUUCGCCUUCUGCCGAAGCUACUGUUCUUAUUGAUCCUGCUUUGGCCUCUUCUGGGGUUAUUGCUUCAUCACCGAACAAUAAUUUGAAGGGCGUAAAGCCUGUUGGCCUUGACAUGGUUGUAUUAUGGCUCCACACCACUUUGAUUAACUCGUUUGGCCACUUUCCCCUGGGCUGAUUGAAGAUUGACUUCAUUAUUCCUGUCAUUAUGAUCCCAUUAGCUCUUUCGACAAGUCCAUUUGACUCUGGGUGUCAGACUGACGCAAAAUGGAUCUUCGUGCCAAUUUGUUCACAAAAUUCUCUGAAGGCUUCAGAAUCAAACUGUGUCCCAUUGUCCACAGUAAUAGCCUUCGGCACUCCGAAGCGACAAACAAUGUUUUGCCAGAAAAACUUUUGAAUAGUAAAUGAAGUUAUUGUGGCUAAGGGCUUUGCCUCAAUCCACUUGGAAAAAUAUUCCACUGCCACUACUACAUAUCUUAGGUUCCCCUGUGCUGGUGGUAAUGGGCCUAGUAAAUCGAGGCCCCACCUUUGCAACGGCCAAGUGGGUUGUAUUAAUUGAGUUAAAGACGAAGGUUGUUUUUGAUCUCUUGCACAUUUCUGACAACCUUCGCACUUUUGGACUAAAUCCGCUGCAUCCGAAGCUGCCUUCGGCCAAUAAAAUCCUUGACGAAAUACUUUCCCAAACAAAGGCCUAGAUCCAAUGUGAGAUCCACACAGACCUGCGUGUAUUUCCUUCAUCAAUUCUAUGCCUUCGGAUCUGGAUAAACAUUUGAGCAACGGGGAACAGACCCCUCGCUUGUAUAAUUCCCCUUCUAUUAUGACAUAUGGUCGAGCUCUUGCUUCUAUCCUCCUGUUAUAAGCUUCGUCAUCUGAAAGAAAAUUACCCUGAAGGAAAGAGAUGAUUUCAGUUCUCCAAUCUUCACUAUAGACAGGGGAUAUGUUAAGAACCGCUCUUUCGAGAAGCUCGACCGAAGGUGCUUUUAUUGUUUCAAAAAAUACUUCCGAAGGUAAAGGCAGCCCCUGUGCUGCUGACUUGGCCAAUAGAUCAGCGUAUUCAUUCUCUCCACGAGGAAUAUUUUUUACAGAGAAUCCUUCGAAAGAAGCCUCAAUCCUUCGGACUGUAUCUAAAUAUUUUUCAAGCUUCGGGUCUCUUGCUUUAUAGCUCUUGUCAAUAUGACCAGAAAUAACUUGGGAGUCAGUUUUAAGAAUGGCCCUUCUGAUUCCCAUUGCCUUUAACUUCCGAAGACCCAAGAGCAGAGCUUCAUACUCAGCGAUAUUAUUUGUGCAACUAAAAUCAAGUCUUGCCGCAUAACAAGUUUUAACUUUGGAAGGUGAAACCAACACAGCAGCCGCUCCUGCUCCGAAGGUUCCCCAAGACCCAUCGCAAAAUACUGUCCAUGCUUCGGCAUCUUUAUUUGUUUCUUCCUCCUGAGCCCCUGGCGUCCAGUCAGCAAUGAAGUCUGCCAACGCUUAGGACUGAAUCGAAGAUCUAUGGACAUAAUCAAUACAAAAUUCAUUGAGCUCUGCAGCCCAUUUUCCAAUCCUUCCAGUAGCUUCUCGGUUUCUCAUAAUAUCCUUUAGAGGUUGUGAAGAAGGAACAAUUAUGUUGUAAGCUUGAAAAUAAUGCCGAAGCUUCCUGGAGGCCAUCAAAACAGCAUACAGUACCUUCUCCAAUUCUGUAUAAUUUUUCUUUGAUAAACUAAGAACCUCGGAUACGAAAUAUAUUGGGGCCUGCCUCUUAACUUGGCCUUCAAGCUUCUCCUAGACAAGUGCUGCACUUACCGCUGAGUGCGAAGCUACCACAUAUAAUAACAAAGGAGCCCCUGGCGUUGGUGGAGUUAAUGUUGUUAAAUCUAUCAAAUAUUGCUUCAGUUCUUCGAAGGCUCUCUGCUGGACUGGUCCCCAUUGAAAAACUUCGGCUGACUUCAGUACUUCGAAAAAUGGUAAAUUUCUCUCUGCUGAUCUAGAUAUGAAUCUGUUGAGAGAUGCCAGCCUUCCUGUCAAUCUUUGGGCCCCCUUCUUUGUACUUGGUGGUUCCAUUCGAAGUAUAGCUUCGAUUUUGCUUGGAUUAGCCUCAAUUCCCUUUGUUGAAACUAAGCAACCAAGAAAUUUCCCCUUCUUUACUCUGAAGACACAUUUUUCUGGAUUCAGUUUUAAGCCAGCCUGCCUAAAAUUAGCGAAGGUCUCCUGCAGAUCAGCAAUGUGGUUGUCUUGCUUCGUGCUUUUUACAAUGAUAUCAUCAACAUAAGUUAACACAUUCCUGCCUAUCUGAGAAUGAAGAACCUUCGCUGUCAUUCUGCUGAAGCUCCCUCCAGCAUUUUUAAGCCCCUCAGGCAUCCAAAGUAACAAUAUGUCCCACUAGGGGUUAUAAAGCUGGUUUUUGGUUCAUCCUCCUUCAUCCAGAUUUGAUGAUAGCCUGAAUAGCAAUCCAGCAGACUCAUAAGCUCUGAUGAAGCUGCUGCAUCAACUAAGGAAUCUAUCCUUGGCAAUGGAAAUUCGUCCUUCGGACAGGCCUUAUUGAGAUCAGUAAAAUCGAUACACAUUCUCCAUUUACCAUUGGCCUUCUUCACCAUAACAGUGUUAGCCAACCAUUCUGGGUAUUUUACCUCUCUAAUAACUCCGGCACUGAGGAAUCUUUUCACUUCAUUCCAAGCACCUUCGGCCUUGUCAUCAGACAUCUUCCGAAGCCUCUGCUUUAUGGGUCUGAAGGAUGGAUCAACAUUGAGCGAGUGCUCAAUGACAUCCCUGUUAACUCCACAAAGAUUAUUGGCUGACCAAGCAAAAACAUCUUUAUUGUUGAACAAAAACCUUAUCAAGGUUUUCUCCUGUUCUUCGGACAAUUGAGAUCCCAAUAGCACCUUCUGCUCUGCUAUAUCCUCACAUAAGAGCAUGGGCUUCGGCUGAUCAGCCGAAGCAGCCUUUUCCCUUCUGAACUUGUAUUGCUCACAAGCUUCAGUUCCAUCUAUAUUAUGGAUUGCUUUUGAGUCUGUCCAAUUUCCUUCAGCCAUUCUGGCAGCUUCCUGACUUCCAUGAAUAGCAAUGGGCCCUUGGUCCGAAGGUAUCUUCAUGCAAAGAUAAGCUGGAUGAAGAAUUGCUUCGAAGGCAUUGAGAGUACCACGACCAAUGAUUGCAUUAUAAGGGUAUUCCAUGUCAACAAUAUCAAACACAACUUGUUCAGUCCUUGUGUUGUUGAUAAAUCCGAAGGUCACUGGCAUUGAGAUUUUGGCGAGUGCUACAAUCUGCCUUCCUCCGAAGCCGCAAAGGGGAUGUGUGGCAUCGAGAAUUUUAUCUUCGGGCUCUUGCAUCUGUCUGAAGGCCUUAGCAAAUAUGAUAUCAGCUGCACUGCCUGUAUCAACCAAAACAUUGUGGACCAGAAAUCCUUUGAUAACACAAGAGAUAACCAUAGCAUCGUUGUGUGGGUAAUCCUUGAGUUGAAGAUCCUCUUGGGAGAAGGUAAUAGGAAUGUGAGACCAUCUUGAUUUGAUGAAGGGUCCUUGCACCCCGACGUGCUGUACCCUUCUUUGUGCCUCUUUCUUCUGCUUCUUGUUGGCUGGCUCUGAGCAUGAACCGCCUGUUAUCGGGAGUACCAGCUUCGGACGAAGCAGCUCCAGCUUGAAUGUUGAACGAAGCCAUCAGCUCAAAAAAGUGGAAGUAAGUUCACCGGAGGUGGGCGCCAAUGUUGGGGAUUUGUUCUCAAAUGCUAUGAAUUAAGAACAAGGCAACAUAAAAUGUUAAAUAUCAAAGUCCUUCGUCCACUGAAACAUUAUUUCCUCAAGGAUUUAAUGAACUUCGGACGAAGGUUAUAAUGACACGAUUACGAAGAUUAUAUCUUCGUAAUUGAACUCUCAAAGAUAAUAUAAAACAACACGAGACAUAAAGCAUUAAAGACAAGUAAAUUAGAAAUGAACAACAUCAUUUAUAUAUUAUGUAAACUUAAAAUAUUCAAAUAUAAUGUUUAGGUGCAUUUAUACCUCUGCCUUGGCAAAGAAUAAUUUCCGAGUGAUGCGAUUGCAAUUACAGGAAUCCGUGAACAGUAAAGGAAUAUUGUUCACUAUUUAUAGGCACAGGACACAACCUAUGAGCAAUUACAAUCAUACCCCUCAUAAAAGAUUUCAACAACGACUCAAACUCUUACGGACUAAAAGGUCAUUCUAUCUUUAAGUCGGUUUGUAAUUCCGAAGCUUCAUGAAUGGCACCCUUCGGCAUCACGUACAAACAGCUUCAGCCGAAGCUGUUUCUUCCUGCAGGACCUUUGGCGACGAAGCAUGGUCCCAACAAUGCCUAAGUUUGUUAAAAGUUUGUUCAUCUAGUGGCUUGGUAAAGAUAUCGGCUAAUUGAUCUUUAGUGUUAAUAUAUGAAAUCUCGAUAUCUCCCUUUUGUUGGUGAUCCCUUAAAAAGUGAUAGCGAAUGGCUAUGUGUUUAGUGCGGCUAUGCUCAACGGGAUUAUCCGCCAUGCGGAUUGCACUCUCAUUAUCACAUAGAAGAGGAACUUUGGUUAAUUUGUAACCAUAGUCCCUAAGGGUUUGCCUCAUCCAAAGUACUUGCGCGCAACAAUGUCCUGCAGCAAUGUACUCGGCUUCGGUGGUAGAAAGAGCUACGGAAUUUUGCUUCUUUGAAGCCCAAGACACCAAGGAUCUUCCCAAGAACUGGCAAGUCCCCGAUGUGCUCUUUCUAUUAAUCUUACACCCUACCCAAUCGGCAUCCGAAUAACCAAUCAAAUCGAAAGUGGAUCCCCUAGGAUACUGUCGGGGACCAUAAUUAGGGGUACCCUCAAGGCUCCUAAUUCUCAACUGGUAACCCCCAUUAGCACAAAGCUGAAAGGCCUGAUGGGUGCGACUAAGUCAGGGAUCGGUCCAUUCGAGGGACUCGAUCACGCCUCGCCCGAGCCCAGCCUCGGGCAAGGGCAGCCAACCCCGGAGGAUCUCCGUCUCGCCCGAGGCCCCCUCCAGCGACGAACAUACUUCCGGCUCGCCUGAGGCCCAGUCUUCGCCAAGAAGCAACCCUGGCCAAAUCGCCACGCCUACCGACCAAAUCGCAGGGGCGUUUAAUGCAAAGGUGGCCUGAUACCUUUAUCCUGACGCGCGUCCUCCAGUCGACAGAGCCGAAGUGACCGCAGUCACUUCACCGCUCCACUAACUGGCCUGACAGAAGGACAGCGCCGCCUGCGCCGCUCCGACUGCUAUGCCACUCGACAGAGUGAGGCUGACAGGCAGUCAGGCCCGGCCUCAGGCACCAUAGGAAACUCUGCUCCGCCCGACCCAGGGCUCGGACUCGGGCUCAGCCCCGGAAGACGGCGAACUCCGCUCCGCCCGACUCAGGGCUCGGACUCGGGCUCAGCCCCGGAAGACGGCGAACUCCGCUCCGCCCGACCCAGGGCUCGGACUCGGGCUCAGCCCCAGAAGACGACGAACUCCGCUCCGCCCGACCCAGGGCUCGGACUCGGGCUCAGCCCCGGAAGACGACGAACUCCGAUCCGCCCAACCCCAGGGCUCGGACUCGGGCUCAGCCCCGGAAGAUGACGAACUCUGAUCCGCCCAACCCCAGGGCUCGGACUCGGGCUCAGCCCCGGAAGACGACGAACUCCGCUUCGCCCGACCCCAGGGCUCGGACUCAGCCCUGGCUUCAGCCGACAGUCUCCGCCUCGCCCGACCCAGGGGCUCAGACUCGACCUCGGCCUCGGAAGACAGACUUGACCUCGACCUCGGAGGAGCCUCCACAUCGCCCAACCUAGGGCGUGGACCGACCACGUCAACAGGAGGCGCCAUCAUUACCCUACCCCAAGCUGACUCAGGCUACGGGGAACAAGACCGGUGUCCCAUCUGGCUCGCUCCGCCAGACAAGUAAUGAUGGCGCCCCGCACGCUCUAUGACGACGGCGGCUCUCAGCCCCCUUACGGAAGCGAGAGGACGUCAGCAAGGACUCAACAGCCCCGACAGCUGUCCUUCUGCCAGGCUCCAGCGCUCCUCCGACGGCCACAACACCACAUGAACCGGGUGCCAAAACCUCUCCGGCUGCCACGAUGGCAUGUACUUAGGGCGCUAGCUCUCCUCCGCUAGACACGUUAGCACUCUGCUACACCCCCAUUGUACACCUGGAUCCUCUCCUUGCGCCUAUAAAAGGAAGGACCAGGGCCCUCAUACAGAAGGUUGGCCGCGCGGGGAAGAGGACGGGACAGGCGCUCGCGUGAGGCCGCUCGCUCCCCCUCCCGCGUGGACGCUUGUAACCCCCUACUGCAAGCGCACCCGACCUGGGCGCGGGACGAACACGAAGGCCGCGGGAUUUCCACCUCUCUCAUGCCUUCUUCCCCCCUUCGCGCUCGGCCUCGCGCCGACCCAUCUGGGCUGGGGCACGCGGCGACAUUUUACUCGUCGGCCCAGGGACCCCCCCGGUCUCGAAACGCCGACAGUUGGCGCGCCAGGUAGGGGCCUACUGCGUGUUGACAAACAGCUUCCCGUCAAGCUCCAGAUGGGCAGUCUCCAACAACCUUUCCGGCCCGGGUCGGUGUUCCGUUUCGGGAGUCUUGAGUUCAUGUCCCUCGACGGCAGCUACAACAUGAUACUCCUUCCCCCGUCGUGCGACAGCGACAAUGGCGGCCGACAGCCCGCCCGCCGGCGGCGGAAUCGACGACGUCUUCCCCGCGUGGUGGAAGAACAACAUUCGAGCUCACCCCGCCCUCUCCCCCGCCGACGGAGGAGGAGGCGGGGCAACCAAGGCCAAGCAGGAGGCGGCACCUCGUCGGCUGUCAAGCGAGUCGACGGCGCCGGCGCCCCAACGGGGGGCUCGUCGAGCAUCGACCUCGCGUUUGAGACGAAGACGAGCGCCGUCUCCCCGCAACACGCCAAUUCCAAGCAAACGGACGACGCCAGCACGCUCGCGAAAGGCUUGCUGGGCGUCACCCUCGUACCUGAGACGACGGUGCAGUCAGCCCGUCGACCAAGAGGUAUCCACCGGUUCCCAUCUCACGCCUCUUGGAUUCAGCCUCGACCCGCCGAGCGGCUUCGCUUUGGCGGACGCUCUCGUGGAGGCGAGUCCGAACCCUCUAGGGUAUCGUAUGCGGUCACCCUGGGACCGGCUGACGGACGUCUCGACCUACGGGCCCUCGGGGUCCGAGGAAGAUGACGAGCCCGACUUCUGUUGGGACUUCUCCGGACUUGGUAACCCCAGUGCCGUGCGGGACUUCAUGACCGCAUGCGACUACUGCCUUUCCGACUGUUCCGACGGUAGCCGCAGCCUCGGCGACGAGGACUGCGGCCCAAGUCGUGAAUGUUUCCACGUCGAUCUAGGGGGUCCCUCCGAAGGCAACCAUCUUGGUAUGCCGGAGAACGGUGAUCCCCCUAGGCCUGUGCCUCGCGUUGACAUCCUACGGGAGCUAGCUGUGGUCCCCGUUCCGGCGGGGGGUCAUGACCCACAGCUCGAGCAAAUCCGCGGGGUGCCGGCCAGGCUCGACGAGGGAGCAGGAGCACUUGAGCCGAUCCGCCGGGACGUCGGGCAGGAAUGGGCGGGCCAACCUCCGGCCGGAGAAGUGCGCCAUCUACCCUGUAAGGAAAAUGGACCCCAGGCCUUUUGGCUAAUUGAGUUUUGGUGUUUGAUGAUUAACACAACCUGUGGACUAAUAUGUUUGCUAGUGUUUAUAAUUAUAGUUCACAGGAUGCGAAGAGAAUUGGACCAAGGCAAUGAGGAUGCAACACCUCAAAAGAAGACAUAAAAAGAUGCAUAGGAGUCCAAUACUCAAGAACAAAAGAAGCCUGAAGAAAUCAGCAAAGGAAUCCAAGAAACGGGCUGUCAGCCAGCGCCUGGUGGCGCACCGGACAUUGAUGUCCGGUGUGCACCGGACUGUCCGGUGAGGCACCGGACAGUCUGCGCAGAGAGGCCACGGACAGGCGCUCUCUGGCUGUAGCACCGGACUGUCCGGUGUGCACCGGACUGUCCGGUGUGCCACGGGCAGACGGCAACGGUUAGAUCCAACGGUCGACUGCUACAGGCGCCAACGGUCGGCUGACGUGGCGUGCACCGGACACUGCACAGUAGAUGUCCGGUGGUGCACCGGACUGUCCGGUGCACCCGACGACAGAAAGCUGCUGCUUUCUGUCCAACGGCUAGUUUGGGGUGUGGAGGCUAUAAAUACCACCCCAACCGGCCAUUCUCAAGUGUGAGAGCCCAAGCAACAUACCAAGACACAUAGUGCAUAUUUCCAAGAGCUCAAACACCCAAGUGCUUAAUAGAAUCACUCGGUGAUUAGCGUAGGUGCUUUGCGAAGUGCUUAGGUUAGUUAGACCGCUUUAGCGCUUGCUCUAGGUGAACCCUAGUUAGUUGAGUGAGUUUUGUAAAACCACACAACCCCUCGGCUCUUGUGUGAGUCGUUGUAAUUGUACCGAGUGGGGCGAGAGUCUUGCGAGACCGUGACAACCGCGUUUGUGUCACGGCCGCCACCGUGUACCGGAGGGAACGAGGCCCGCGGCGUUUCGGCCGGAAGCUCGAUAAUGGAGACGGCGGGGAGCGUCCGAGAGGAGCCGGAAGCGGAGCACCACUUGCGCGUGGAGAAGGCCCGUGGCUCUCUACGGAGUUACUCGACCGUGGUGCUUGGCCCUCGCGUGGGCUUCCCUUUGCGUAGGGGCACCAACGAGGAUUAGUUGGGACCUUGCGUGGUUCCGGAUACCUCGGUAAAAAUACCGGCGUCAUCCACGAGAGUUUGCUUCUCUACUUAGCUCUUUACAUUCCGCAUUUAUAUUAAGCAUUUAAGUUUCAAUCUUGUAGUCAUACUUAUUUAGUGUAGAUUGAAACUUAGCCUUUGCGGUAGAGAUAGCAACACUUAGACAAAACCUAGUUUGCACAUUCUAGUUUUGAUUAUUUGCAUAGGUUUUGCUCUAGUGAUUUAAUUGUGGCCUAGUUUAGUAAAAGUUUUAGAAGUCCUAAUUCACCCCCCUCUUAGGCGUCACCCGUUUCCUACAAGUGGUAUCGGAGCCCGGUUUGGCUCAUUUGAAACGCUUUAGCUUCACCGCUAAAAGAGCCGACGCUUUUUAGAGGAAGGGAUGGAUACCCAUAGGCCACCACACUUCGACGGCACUAACUUCCCAUAUUAUAGUGCUAGAAUGGCUUGUUACCUAGAGGCCGUUGAUCUAGGUGUUUGGAGAGUCACUCGUGACGGGAUGAAACCCCUCAAGAAUCCCGAGAAACCCACCACGAGUGAGGAAAAAGAAAUCCAUUUAAAUGCUAGAGCCAAAAAUUGCUUGUAUGAAUCUCUUAGCUUGGAUAUUUUUAACCAAGUAUUUACCUUGAAACUGCUAAUGAGAUUUGGCUAAAAAUGCAUGAGCUCCAUGACGGCACAUCCAAUGUCCGUGAGCAAAAACAUUGCCUAGUCUUAAAUGAGUAUAAUUCUUUUGCUAUGAAAGAUGAUGAGCUUGUUAGAGACAUGUAUUCUCGUUUGAAUCUAAUAAUCAAUGAGCUCAACUCUAUUGGCAUUAAUAAGCUAGGCGAUGCGGACAUUGUGAGGAAGAUUAUCUCCCUGCUACCACAACAAAGAUAUGGGAGCAUCAUCACCAUCCUUCACAACAUGGAGGACUUGAGCAACAUGACCCCGACCAUUGUGAUUGGGAAAAUCGCGGCCUUCGAGAUGUCACGAAAAAUGAGUCGGGGAGAGGAGCCAACUUCCUCAAGACCAUAUGCUUUUGCAUGUGAUGAAAGGAAGGGCAAAAAGAAGGCUCCCACUCCAAGUUCCUCAAGUGAAGAAGAGGAAGAAGAAGAAAGUGAUGAUGAUGAAGAUAAUCAACCAUGCACAUCAUCCUCCAAGGACGAAGAAACAAUCCAACGCGUCGGAAAGGUAAUGAGGAUGAUCCGCAAGAUUAAUCUAAUGGGUGUGCCCCUGCAGGUCGAGGAUCUUCUCUUUAACAUUGACAGGAAAAAGCAAAGAAAGAGAGGAUGCUUCGCAUGUGGGGAGAAGGGCCACUUCAGGGACAGCUGUCCAACUUUGGCUGAACCCAAAAAGGAGAGGAGCAAAGGCAAGGCGCUAACAAGUGUUAGAACUUGGGAUGAUUCUUCAAGUGAAGAUGAACCUCCAAGGACGCGCAACCACCGAUCCUCAUCACGCUCAUCACGGUCAUCACACAAAUGCCUUAUGGCAAGAGGUAACAAAAGCAUUCCAUCCUCUAGUGAUGAAAGUAGUAGCGAUGAUGAAGGUGAGGGAAAGCCCUCUGUAGAUGAGCUUGCGGAAGCCGUAGAAUUUUUCCAGGAUGUUUGCACUAAGCAAAAAGCUCAACUUAAAACUUUGAAAAAUAAGUUGGUUAGCUCUCAAAAUGAUUACAAAGGUUUGCUAGAAAAAUUUGAAUCUUUUGCAAACUUAAAUAGUGAGCUAUCAACUAAAAUUGAGCUAUUAGAAUCUAGUGCUCCAUCCACUGCUACCGAUGAUAGCCUUAUUAAAAAGAAUGAAAAACUGAAAGCUAAGUUAGCUAGCUCCCAAGAAGCUAUUGAAAAUUUGCUAGAGAAAAUGGAAAUUCUCAGUAUUCACAAUAAUGAGCUAACUACUAAGCUAGAAAACAUUGGUAGCACCCCAGCAGCAUCUUUAGUUGAAAUACCUGAAAUAAUUAAGAAAGAUGCUUCUACUUCCUGCUUUGAUUUAAUUGAUGAUUCUAACCCCUGCAACCAAGUCGUUGUUGAGAAUAUUGUUGUAGAGACAUGCUCGGAUGAGGUUGCAAAGGAAAAUGAACAAUUAAAGCAAGAAGUGGCUCGCCUUGGCAAGGCUUUGUAUGACAAGAAAGGCAAAGCCAAACAAAUCCAACCUCCACAGGAUAACACCACUGCGGGAGUGAACAAGCCUAUGGAGGGAGAAACUGUGAUUUGUAGGCUAUGCCACAAGGAAGGCCACAAGUCUUUCCAAUGCAAGGCGAUGACCGGGGAUAAACAAAGGCAAAAGCUCAAGCAAAAGCCAUAAAGCAAAAUCUCCAACACCUACAUCAAAAAGGUGGAUAAAAAGACUGCUACACCAUACUUAAUCAAAAAGAAGAAGAAUGGAAAGGUGAUAGCAAUCAAGGCCAACAAGCAAGCCAACAAAGGAAAGGGGGCCAAACGCAUCUGGGUGCCAAAGGAAAUAAUUUCAACCAUGAAGAGCACCAAGAAGGUUUGGAUUCUGAAAGGGAAGUGAGUGGACCGAAGGUCCUCGGGAAAUUUGGAGACUUGGCAAAAUUGGGAUGUAUAUCAUGGGAUACAUCAUAUUGGAUCAAGUUUAUUGCCAAGUGGGUUAGUGAAAACUUUGGACCCAAAUUUCCCACCCAUAACUAAGGUAACUAGUUUUAUUGUAUUCCUCGUUUUUGGAUAUGCGUAUCUAUUUAUCUUUUAUCUAGUUUACCUUUCUUGCCUAGUAUUACAUUUGUUAUGUACUUUUGUUUAAAAUCAUGCAUACUAGGUAAAUCAUAUGGUAGGAUUGCUUGCUUUUAAUUCAUAUACCUAAGCAAACCUACAUGGCUUAAAAUGUUUAUUUAAGCACGACACAUAGCUUUUAUAUCUCUCUGUAGUAAAUGAUGCAAUAAUUGAAAAUUUUGAUUUCUACAAGUUGUAUCAUUUAACUUAUAUGUGCCAAUGUUAGGAUUGUAGAUAAUUUGCCCCUCUUGAUAUCAAAUCAAAAUGCAUGUCUCCUACAAGUAUUCAAAACUUGUAUGCACACCUUUAGGGGGAGAUUACUCUAUAAUCUAACACUUUGAGACUAACACCUUUUCAAGUCUAUUUUAUGUGAUAGUCCCAUUGUAAGGAAUAUGAGGUCCCCGGAGAAAGACAACAAUCUUCCACUGCAAAAUCUCCAAGAACUCUCAUGUCUCUCAAGCUCACCAUUGACUUUCAAUUGGUAUCUUUUGAGACUAUAUCCAGUAUCAUUUACAUGUCUUCUCCAAAAUUUGAUUAGACUAUAUUUCAUAUCAUAUGCUUCCAUGUUGCUAAAAAUGCAUAAGUAGUUAACUCAUAUUCUGUUACCUAUGCAUAAGGGAAGUUAGUCUUUUCAAAUCUUGUCUUGCACCUCUAAUUUUCACAUGCUUUUUCCUAAGUAGAGGAUCUCUGUCAGGGGGAGUAUUUCCUCAUCUCUAAAAAGGGGGGAGAAACUCCUUCUAAAGAAAACACUCAUUUAGGGGGAGUAAUCAUUUCAACUGGUAUCAUUCAUGUGGUUUAAUUUAAUAUCCUUCUAGUGGUAUCAUUUGAUAAAAUUCUUGAUGAGAGCAAGCUGUUAUUUACUUCCUUCAUGCUCUUAAUGUCUUCCUUUUCGGUGGUUGAUGCCAAAGGGGGAGAAGUUUAGGGACCAAAGUAAUGAAAACUAUAUCAAACACCAAACACCACCAAUUUAAAAUUUUAUAUCUACAAAUGGUUUUUCCAAUGGUUUUGGUUAUUUGGUCCAAAAAUAGGAAGUAAGUGAAUUAUGGAGUUAGGGGGAGGCUUAAGUCCAUAAUUUCACAUUGUGGGGAUAAUCAUGCAUCUUAACAAGUAGAUUGCAUAUUUUAAAUACCUGUAUUAUUUGCUUGCUUUGGUUGUGUUGUCAUCAAGCACCAAAAAGUGGGAGAUUGUAAGGAAAAUGGACCCCAGGCCUUUUGGCUAAUUGAGUUUUGGUGUUUGAUGAUUAAAACAACCUGUGGACUAAUAUGUUUGCUAGUGUUUAUAAUUAUAGUUCACAGGAUGCGAAGAUAAUUGGACCAAGGCAAUGAGGAUGCAACACCUCAAAAGAAGACAUAAAAAGAUGCAUAGGAGUCCAAUACUCAAGAACAAAAGAAGCCCAAAGAAAUCAGCAAAGGAAUCCAAGAAACGGGCUGUCAGCCAGCGCCUGGUGGCGCACCGGACAUUGAUGUCUGGUGUGCACCAGACUGUCCGGUGAGGCACCGGACUGUCCGGUGAGGCACCGGACAGUCUGCGCAGAGAGGCCACGGACAGGCGCUCUCUGGCUGUAGCACCGGACUGUCCGGUGUGCACCGGACUGUCCGGUGUGCCACGGGCAGACGGCAACGGUCGGAUCCAACGGUCGACUGCUACAGGCGCCAACGGUCGGCUGACGUGGCGUGCACCGGACACUGCACAGUAGAUGUCCGGUGGUGCACCGGACUGUCCGGUGCACCCGACGACAGAAAGCUGCUGCUUUCUGUCCAACGGCUAGUUUGGGGUGUGGAGGCUAUAAAUACCACCCCAACCGGCCAUUCUUAAGUGUGAGAGACCAAGCAACAUACCAAGACACAUAGUGCAUAUUUCCAAGAGCUCAAACACCCAAGUGCUUAAUAGAAUCACUCGGUGAUUAGCGUAGGUGCUCAAACACCCAAGUGCUCAAACACCCAACUUGCGUGGUUCCGGAUACCUCGGUAAAAAUACCGGCGUCAUCCACGAGAGUUUGCUUCUCUACUUAGCUCUUUACAUUCCGCAUUUAUAUUAAGCAUUUAAGUUUCAAUCUUGUAGUCAUACUUAUUUAGUGUAGAUUGAAACUUAGCCUUUGCGGUAGAGAUAGCAACACUUAGACAAAACCUAGUUUGCACAUUCUAGUUUUGAUUAUUUGCAUAGUUUUUGCUCUAGUGAUUUAAUUGUGGCCUAGUUUAGUAAAAGUUUUAGAAGUCCUAAUUCACCCCCCUUUUAGGCGUCACCCGUUUCCUACACACCCCAGGGUAUCCAGCACCGCAUCGCCGACGACGUCAGGGUAAGGCUGUCGCCCGCUUCUAGUGGAGUCGGCCAGAACCUGGCUGCAGCAACAAUGCUUCUCCGCGCGAUGCCAGAGCCAUCAACCACCGAGGGGCGGCGAAUCCAGGGAGAGCUCAAGAAUCUCCUGGAGGGCGCCGCGGUCCGACGGGCCGAAAGCUCCGCCUCCCAAAGGCAGGGGUGCCCCUCGGAACAUCGCGCUGCGACUUCCCGAUUCAUGCGGGAAGCCUCGGUCCACACCGGGCGCACGCGCAACACAGCGCCUGCGGCCCCGGGUCGCCUCGGCAACAAGCACCAUCACCGCGACCGUCGGGCCCACCUCGAUGAGAGGGUGCGCCGAGGCUACCACCCCAGGCGUGGGGGACGCUACGACAGCGGGGAGGAUCAGAGUCCCUCGCCCGAACCACCCGGUCCACAGGCUUUCAGCCGCGCCAUACGACGGGCGCCGUUCCCGACCCGGUUCCGAACCCUGACUACUAUCACAAAGUACUCGGGGGAGACGAGACCGGAACUGUGGCUCGCGGACUACCGGCUGGCCUGCCAACUGGGUGGAACGGACGAUGACAACCUCAUCAUCCGCAACCUCCCCCUGUUCCUCUCCGACACCGCUCGCGCCUGGUUGGAGCACCUGCCUCCGGGGCAGAUCUCCAACUGGGACGACCUGGUCCAAGCCUUCGCCGGCAAUUUCCAGGGCACGUACGUGCGCCCUGGGAACUCCUGGGACCUCCGAAGCUGCCGGCAGCAGCCGGGAGAGUCUCUCCGGGACUACAUCCGGCGAUUCUCGAAGUAGCGCACCGAGCUGCCCAACAUCACCGAUUCGGAUGUCAUCGGCGCGUUCCUCGCCGGCACCACCUGCCACGACCUGGUGAGCAAGCUGGGUCGCAAGACCCCCACCAGGGCGAGCGAGCUGAUAGACAUCACCACCAAGUUCGCCUCUGGCCAGGAGGCGGUUGAGGCUAUCUUCCGGAAGGACAAGCAGCCCCAGGGCCGCUCACCGGAAGACGCCCCCGAGGCGUCAACUCAGCGCGGCGCCAAGAAGAAGGGCAAGAAGAAGUCGCAAGCGAAACGCGACGCCACCGACGCGGACCUUGUCGCCGCCGCCGAGUACAAGAACCCUCGGAAACCCCCCGGAGGUGCCAACCUCUUCGACAAAAUGCUCAAGGAGCCGUGCCCCUAUCAUCAGGGGCCCGUCAAGCACACCCUUGAGGAGUGCGCUAUGCUUCGGCGCCACUUCCACAGGGCCGGGCCACCCGCGGAGGGUGGCAGGGCUCGCGACGACGACAAGAAGGAAGAUCACCAGGCAGGAGAGUUCCCCGAGGUCCGCGACUGCUUCAUGAUCUACGGUGGGCAAGCGGCAAACGCCUCGGCUCGGCACCGCAAGCAAGAGCGUCAGGAGGUCUAUUCGGUGAAGGUGGCGGCGCCAGUCUAUCUAGACUGGUCCGACAAGCCCAUCACCUUCGACCAAGCCGACCACCCUGACCACGUGCCGAGCUCGGGGAAAUACCCGCUCGUUGUCGACCCCAUCAUCGGCAACGUCAGACUCACCAAGGUCCUCAUGGACGGAGGCAGCAGCCUCAACAUCAUCUACGCCGAGACCCUUGGGCUCCUGCGUGUUGAUCUGUCCUCGGUCCGAGCAGGCGCUGCGCCUUUCCACGGGAUCAUCCCCGAGAAGCGCAUCCAGCCCCUCGGACAACUCGACCUUCCCGUCUGCUUCGGAACACCCUCCAACUUCCGAAGGGAGACCCUCACGUUCGAGGUGGUCGGGUUCCGAGGAACCUACCACGCAGUAUUGGGGAGGCCAUGCUACGCGAAGUUCAUGGCCGUCCCUAACUACACCUACCUCAAGCUCAAGAUGCCGGGCCCCAACGGGGUCAUCACCGUCGGCCCCACGUACAAACACGCGUUCGAAUGCGACGUGGAGUGCGUGGAGUACGCCGAGGCCCUCGCCGAGUCCGAGGCCCUCAUCGCCGACCUAUAGAACCUCUCUAAGGAGGUGCCAGACGUGAAGCGUCACCCCGACAACUUCGAGCCAGCAGAGACGGUUAAGUCCGUCCCCCUCGACCCCAGCGGCGACGCCUCCAAGCAGAUCCGGAUCGGCUCCGAGCUUGAUCCCAAAUAGGAAGCAGUGCUCAUCAACUUUCUCCGCGCAAACGCCGACGUUUUCGCGUGGAGUCCCUCGGACAUGCCCGGCAUACCGAGGGAUGUCGCCGAGCACUCGCUGGAUAUCCGAGCUGGAGCCCGAACCGUCAAGCAGCCUCUGCGCCGAUUCGACGAAGAAAAGCGCAGAGCCAUUAGCGAGGAGAUCCACAAGCUAAUGGCGACAGGGUUUAUCAAAGAGGUAUUCCAUCCCGAAUGGCUUGCCAACCCUGUGCUUGUGAGAAAGAAAGGAGGGAAAUGGCGGAUGUGUGUAGACUACACUGGUCUAAACAAAGCAUGUCCGAAGGUUCCCUACCCUCUGCCUCGCAUCGAUCAAAUCGUGGAUUCCACUGCUGGGUGCGAAACCCUGUCUUUCCUUGAUGCCUACUCAGGGUAUCACCAAAUCAGGAUGAGAGAGUCCGACCAGCUCGCGACUUCUUUCAUCACACCCUUCGGCAUGUACUGCUAUGUCACCAUGUCGUUCGGCUUGAGGAAUGCGGGUGCGACGUACCAGCGGUGCAUGAACCAUGUGUUCGACGAACACAUUGGCCGGAGGGUCGAGGCCUACGUCGAUGACAUCGUAGUCAAGACGAGGAAAGCCUCCGACCUCCUUUCCGACCUUGAAGUGACAUUCCGAUGUCUCAAGGCGAAAGGAGUGAAGCUUAAUCCCGAGAAGUGUGUCUUUGGGGUUCCCCGAGGCAUGCUCUUGGGGCUCAUCGUCUCCGAGCGGGGCAUCGAAGCCAACCCGGAGAAGAUCGCAGCCAUCACCAGCAUGGGCCCAUCAAGGACUUGAAAGGCAUACAAAGAGUCAUGGGAUGUCUUGCGGCUCUGAACCGCUUCAUCUCACACCUCGGCGAAAGAGGUCUGCCUCUAUACCGCCUCUUAAGGAAGGCCGAGUGCUUCACUUGGACCCCUAAGGCCGAGGAAGCCCUCGGGAACCUGAAGGCGCUCCUCACGAACGCGCCCAUCUUGGUGCCCCCCGCUGCCGGAGGAGCUGGCUAAAAUAGCCUCGGGGCGAACAACGGUUCCCCCGGACGUCUUCUCCCGAGACCUGCAUCAACCCUCCGUCAAGAUCGAUGACACGCCCGAGCCCGAGGCACCCUCGGCCCAGCCCGAGGUACCCUCGGCUCAGUCCGAGGCACCCUCGGCUCGGCCCGAGGCACCCUCAGCUCGGCCCGAGGCACCCUCAGCUCGGCCCGAGGCACCCUCGGUUCAGCCCGAGGUACCCUCAGCCCCCAAGGGUGAGGCACUGCGCGUCAAGAAGGAGCGAAGCGGGGUCACGCCUAAUCGAAACUGGCAGACCCCGUACCUGCAGUAUCUCCACCAAGGAGAGCUACCCCUCGACCGAGCCAAAGCUCGGUGGUUGGCGCGGCGCGCCAAGUCGUUCGUCUUGCUGGGAGAUGGGAAGGAGCUCUACCACCGUAGCCCCUCAGGCAUCCUCCAGCGAUGCAUUUCCAUCGCCGAAGGCCAGGAGCUCCUACAAGAGAUACACUCGAGGGCUUACGGCCAUCACGCAGCACCUCGAGCCCUUGUUGGAAACGCCUUCCGACAAGGUUUCUACUUGCCGAUGCGGUUGCUGACGCCACUAGAAUUGUCCGCACCUGCGAAGGGUGUCAGUUCUACGCGAGGCAGACCCACCUGCCCGCUCAGGCUCUGCAGACGAUACCCAUCACCUGACCUUUUGCUAUGUGGGGUCUGGACCUCGUCGGCCCCUUGCAGAAGGCACCCGGGGGCUACACGCACCUGUUGGUCGCCAUCGACAAAUUCUCCAAGUGGAUCGAGGUCCGACCCCUAAACAGCAUCAGGUCCGAACAGGCGGUGGCGUUCUUCACCAACAUCAUCCAUCGUUUUGGGGUCCCGAACUCCAUCAUCACCGACAACGGCACCCAGUUCACCGGCAGAAAGUUCCUGGACUUCUGCGAGGAUCACCGCAUCCGGGUGGACUGGGCAGCCGUGGCACACCCCAUGACGAAUGGGCAAGUAGAGCGUGCCAAUGGCAUGAUUCUACAAGGACUCAAGCCUCGGAUCUACAAUGACCUCAACAAGUUCGGCAAGCGAUGGAUGAAGGAACUCCCCUCGGUGGUCUGGAGCCUGAGGACAACGCCGAGCCGAGCCACAGGCUUCACGCCGUUCUUUCUAGUCUAUGGGGCCGAGGCCAUCUUGCCCACAGACUCAGAAUACGGUUCCCCGAGGACGAGGGCCUAUGCCGACCAAAGCAACCAAGCUAGUCGAGAAGACUCGCUGGACCAGCUGGAAGAGGCUCGGGACAUGACCUUACUACACUCGGCGCGGUACCAACAGUCCCUGCGACGCUACCACGCCCGAGGGGUCCGGUCCCGAGACCUCCAGGUGGGCGACCUGGUGCUUCGGCUGCGACAGGACGCCCGAGGGCGGCACAAGCUCACGCCUCCCUGGGAAGGGUCGUUCGUCAUCGCCAAAGUUCUGAAGCCCGGAACGUACAAGCUUGUCACACCCGGUUUUGGAAGGUAAACCGAAUGCGAACUAUGUACGUGCCAGGAUCAGAACUCACGUACACAGCGAUUACAUAAAUGAACAUCAUCACACAGUGCUCGAAUAACAACAUAAAGGGGUAUUAACUUAUUACAUCACAGAGUCAUAGACAUCCACAUAAUCAUCAACUUAACUGCUAAAUCAAAGUGCUAGCGAAACGCAGUAAAGGUAAGGCCUUCACAGGCAGCUGACUGGGGGUUGCCGCCAACCCACACCUAGAACUCGUCAUAAUCUUGGAAUUCCUGGAAGUCUCCUUCCACAGCUUCAUCUUCUCCUGAGCAGUGGUUGCAACGGGGACAACCUAGUGUUUUGUGGUAAAGCAAGGAUGAGUACACAUCAACGUACUCAGCAAAUGCCCCGUUUGGCUGAAGUGGACUAGCUUUAUGUGGAGUUAGGCUCAAGCAGUUGCUUUUAGUUGGUCAGGUAUUUAUUGUUAGUAGAAGCCAGAUUUUAUCAUCAAGCCCAAGUUAUAGACCCAAACGUACUUCCUCCGAGAGGAAAUACCAAAAUGCAUAAUUAAAGUCACCAUCAUUAACCAUCAACAUUAAAGUCAUCAUCCAAAGUGUAUCCGGAGUAUCUCUAAUCAAAGAGGAUCCCAAGGCUGCUCUUAACCGUGAGCACGGCUGAUAUAUCAGUUUCACUACCCUCUGCAGAGGUCGCACACUUUACCCAUGAGUCGUGAUUCCCGUUCUGCCCGGAGAGAGCUACUCUCCAUUGACCACUACCUAGGUGGCCUGGCAGGGUAUCACUACAUAGCCUUUACAAAGAUUCCCUAGAGGUCAUAGCCGCCCAUUAGGUUUCUCCAGUUUGAUAAACACAGUACCCCUCCCCACAGGAGAGUGACUAACAAAAAAGCAAAACGAAAGAACCUCGGCACUCAGCCUCGGCAGAGCAAGCACUGUGCCUGGACCCCAUUGACGGCACGACGGCGAAGCAACUACACCUCUAGUUCCUCUAAUUAAUUAGCUAAGGGCGUCCCAUUUCACCCUCAUGGUUGCACUGUUAUCCCGGGUGGUCUCUCAACGAACAGGUCCUUACGGAGAGGUACUCAGGAAACAGCCUGAGCCCCCUAGAGUAUCACAAGAUCAUCAAUAUCAUCAGGAUAACAGUAUCGUAUCAUAAAUAGUCACAUCAUGUUCAUUGAUUAGGUUGAGGCAAUAGCAAAAUGCUAACCAUAAUAACCCAAAAGGUCAUCAAGGAUAAGGUAAAGUAUAAAGCUAGUCAAUCCUUAGGUUUCAAUUAAGUAAUGCGGGAAAGUGAAUUAUAAGUGAAUAGGACAUAAUGGGUCAGAGGACACUUGCCUUCACCAAACUGCUGAUCAGGGACUUCUUCUGCCACUUCCUCGGGAAACACAGACUGCCCGUUGUCUACGUAAAGUAAUCAUUCACACUAUGCACUUGGGAAAUAACAAACAAAAACAGUAAACCAAGCAUAUGCAGCAGAGAGAUCACAAGUUCACAGUAGAAAAGGAUUGGCAAUCUGGUGUUCCCUAGGUCUGGGGUAGAUGACUAUACAAAAUGAUUCAUUAUCCACUAAUCAGGUCUAAGUCAGUGGGGGGGGGGGGGUUAAAUCAUUACAUGGUGUUAAGUCCAUAAACUUAGGUGCUCCAACUUUUAUUAAAAUCUUCUAUCUUUUAUUUAUCUCAAAUAGGGGUUCCAAUAACAUUAGUUUUACCCUAAUGAUCAACUAUUAAUUGGGACAUAAAAACAGCAGGGAAACAUUGUUUAAAUAGAUAGAUAAAAAUAUUGUGAGCAUUUUGCAAUUUGAAGCACCUAAUUUGGAGUUCAUAUGACAAAGUUAUGAAUUUUACAAGAUUAGGGAUUAAAAAUAUGCCUUGAAUACUUAUUUUGGAUUAAAUAAAAGGUCCGAGGACCUAACUGCUAAGAUCCACGGACGGCGGGUUAAUUUGCUGAAAGCCGGGGGUCUCUUUAAGAAAAAGCGCAGGCGAAAGGGUAUCGGGCUUCUACGGCCGUUGGAUCUCGGAUCAACGCCCGAGAUUAGAUCCGCGGGCAGGCGCGCGAGCGCGCGGCGGCCUGAGCGGCUGACAGGCGGGGCCAGGCGGGCAGCGCGGGCGCGGACGGCUGACAGGCGGGGCCAGGCGGGCAGCGCGGGCACGGACAGCUGACAGGCGGGGCCCAAAUGGCAGAAAGGCAGGGUGAGGGGGGGGGGGGGAAACAGCCCUGGGCCGUUGGAUCUUAGGCGAACGGCUAGGGUUGGGCUCGGCCUAAUUGAAACAGGGCCGUUCGAUCUGGAAUGGACGGCGGGGAUUGGGUGGCCGGCUUCUGUCUUCUCCUACGGCUAGCAGAGGCGGCGGCGCCCGCUCCCGCGGCGGAGGACUCGCCGGAGACGAGGGGCGCGGGGGCUCUGCGGGUCCUUGGGGCGACCUGGGUGGCCGAGGAGGUCGGGGAGAGCGUGGGGAACCUUCCGGUGGGGACUGGGUCAGGGCAGGGGCACCGGAGGGGGCGGCCCACGACGAAGCGGCUCGGCGGUGGCGCUAAAGGACUCCGGCGAGCAAUUAAACGCGACGGGGGGCAAUAAAAAGGUCGGAAGGGGGCGGGAGAGGUUCCUUACCUCAAGGCGAACUCCGGGGACCCCUCGAUGGCGACGGAGACGCGGCGGCAGCCCGAGUCGACGGUGGCGGACCUCGGUGGCUGCGCAGAGAACGGCGGUGAGCGUAGGCAGAGGGAUUCGGAGAGGGAGAGGGGAAAUUGGGGCGCGUCCCGGGUUGCGGACGUCGGGGCGGAGCUCACCGUGGCAGAAGGCACAGCGGGGCUCCAACGGCGGCGGAGAAACGAGCUCGGGCGGCGAUGGUUUAAUGGCGGCGGCGCUCUGGCAUGUGCGCAGCGUGGGGGAGGUGGAAGAGGGGUCUGCAGGUGCGCAAAUGAGGGAGGGGGAGAGGGCGAGCGAGGUUCUAGGCUCAAGUGGCCGAGGCAAGGUGGUUGCGAGCUCCACGCGCGACGUGGGCGCGGAGUCUGCGGCACGCACGGCUCGGGGCGGCGGUUACGCGGAGACGGAGGAGCUGACAGCCGGGGCCCGCGGGCAGAGAGAGCGGGGGAAGCGGGCGCGGACGCGGGGAAAGCGGCUGCGCUGACGGGCGGGCCCGCCAGGGCAGAGAGAGGAGAGGGGGGAAGGAAGGCGCGCGCGCGGGAUGGGCCUGAUGGGCCGAAAGGCCGAGGGGGCGGGGGAAGUGGGCUUCUUUCCUUUUUCUUUUAUUCUGGCAUUUGUUUUCCCUUUUCCUUUUAUUUAUUCUAUUUGAUUCAAAUCCAAAUAGGCCACAAAUUCAAAUUAGCAUUUCCAAGUAUUAUGCACCAAACAAAAAUGAAAUCUAGGGUUCAACAUGAUGCAACAUUUCAUACUCCCUUGGAGUUUAGCCUACUAGUUUAUAAUUACAAAUAAAAAUAACCACUCUUCUUCUAUAGAAAAGAGAAAGAGGAGGUUGGGGAAAGGUGUGAGAAGAGAAAUAACACCUGAAUUUGUGAAUAUGAGCAAAGAAAUUUUAUACCCCCAAAUUCAGGGUGUUACAAACCUAUCCCCUUAAGAGAAUCUCGCCCCGAGAUUCAAGGUUGGUCAGCAAAGAGUUCAGGGUAUUUGGCCUUCAGAUCAUCUUCUCGUUCCCAGGUUGCUUCUUCCUCAGAGUGGUGGCCCCAUCUGACUUUGCACAUUCUGAUGGUGUUUCUUCGGGUGACUCUGUCUGCAAACUCCAGAAUCUGCGUUGGCUUCUCUACGUAGGUCAGAUCCUCUUGGACUUCCAAGUCCUCCACGGGCAACUGUUCUUCUGGUACUCGCAGACACUUCUUCAAUUGCGACACGUGGAACACAUUGUGCACUGCUGACAAACUUUCUGGUAGGUUGAGUUGAUAGGCCACUUCUCACGCUUUGCUUGAAUCUGAUAUGGUCCAACAUACCGGGGUGCUAACUUGCCUUUAACUCCGAACCUUCUGACUCCUCUGAUAGGUGACACCUUCAGAUAGACGUAAUCUCCCACUUCGAAACUCAAUUCCCUUCUCCUUCUGUCAGCAUAGCUUCGCUGUCUUGAUUGUGCUAUCUUCAGAUUCUCCCGAACCAUUUUGAUAUUCUCUUCGGCUUCAAGCAAGAUGUCGGGGCCAAACACCUGUCUCUCUCCAGGCUGGUCCCAAUGCAGCGGAGUCCUACAACUCCGUCCAUAGAGUGCCUGAAACGGUGACAUCUUCAAGCUGGCUUGGUAACUAUUGUUGUAGGAGAAUUCUGCAUAAGGUAACCUUUUGUCCCAUCCUGACUUGUCUUGCAACGCACAGGCUCUCAGCAUAUCUUCUAGGAUCUGAUUUGUCCUCUCAGUCUGACCGUCUGUCUGUGGGUGAUAAGUCGAGCUGAAGUUCAAGUGUGUACCCAAAGCUUCUUGUAGCUACUGCCAAAAAUGAGAGGUGAACUGUGUUCCUCGAUCUGACACUAUCUUCUUCAGCAUACCAUGAAGGCAGACUAUCCGUGACAUGUAUAACUCAGCUAACGUUGCUCCAGUGUAUGUUGUCUUCACGGGUAUGAAAUGGGCCACCUUUGUUAAGCGGUCCACAACCACCCAGAUGGAAUCAUAGCCGGCCCGGGUACGAGGUAAGCCAACUAUAAAAUCCAUCCCGAUCUCAUCCCACUGCCACUGAGGAAUCCGCAAUGGCUGCAACAAUCCGGCGGGCCUCUGAUGCUCUGCUUUGGUUCUUUGACAGCUAUCACAGAUGGCGACAUAUUCUGCGAUCUCUCUUUUCAUGCCAUACCACCAAAACCUCCUUUUUAAAUCCUGAUACAUCUUCUCACUUCCAGGGUGUAUGGAGUAGGCUGUCUCAUGAGCUUCCUUGAGGAUCAGCUCCCGAAUAGGUUUGAGGUCGGGAACACACAAUCGGUCCUUGAACCAUAUCGCUCCCUUAUCAUCCUCUCGAAAGUCUCUGCCUCUUCCUUCUAAGAUCAGCUGCCGGAUCUUGUUGAUGUCUUCAUCAUCCUUCUGCCCUUCUUUGAUCUCCCUCUCUAGGGUGGGCUCUAAUUCCACUAUUACUCCUUGGGUACUGUUCAGAAAACCAAGACUCGGUCUAUCGAACUCCUUGGCCAACUCAUACGGCAUUGGGUACGUGGCCAUCAUAUUAACUUGACUCUUCCUGCUUAGAGCAUCUGCAACAACAUUGGCUUUGCUUGGAUGGUAAUGUAUCUCCAACUCAUAGUCUUUGAUCAAUUCCAACCAUCUUCGCUGUCUCAUGUUUAACUCUGACUGGGUGAAUAUAUACUUCAGACUUUUAUGACCUGUGUAGAUGUCGCACUUCUGCCCAUACAGGUAAUGUCUCCAUGUCUUUAACGCAUGAACCACUGCUGCCAACUCCAGGUCGUGCGUGGGGUAAUUUUUCUCAUGGAUCUUCAGCUGUCGACAUGAGUAUGCUACAACUCUUCCUUCUUGCAUUAGCACACAUCCCAAUCCGGUGUAAGAAGCAUCGCAGUACACCGAGAAUGGCUUGUGAACAUCAGGCAGAACUAACACAGGUGCUGUAGUCAAUCUAUUCUUCAGUUCUUCAAAUGCUUCUUGACACUUUUGGGUCCACUUAAACUCAACUUUCUUCGCUAGUAAUGCUGUCAUUGGUCUAGCAAUCUUUGAAAAGCCUUCAAUGAAACGCCUGUAGUAUCCGGCCAUUCCAAUGAAGCUCUUGAUCCCACGAACAUCCUUCGGUGCUUUCCAGUUCAUGAUAUCUGCUACUUUCUUUGGAUCCACUGCUAACCCAUCUUGGUUUAUGAUGUGACCCAGAAACAGGACUUCAUGAAUCCAGAACUCGCAUUUACUCAGCUUGGCAUACAACUGAUGCUCUCGAAGCCUUUGCAAUACCAUCUUCAAAUGCUCCACAUGAUCUUCCUCACUUUGAGAGUAUAUGAGAAUAUCAUCGAUGAACACUACCACAAACUUGUCUAGAUAGUCCAUGAACACGCUGCUCAUCAGAUACAUAAAGAAGGCUGGCACAUUUGUCAAACCAAAGGACAUAACUGUGAACUCAUACAACCCAUACUUGGUGAUGAAUGUUGUCUUCGGUAUGUUCGAGGGUCGGAUUCUGAGUUGAUGGUAACCUGAUCUCAGAUCUAUCUUCGAGAAUACGCUGGCACCUCUGAGCUGGUCAAACAGAUCUUCUAUUCUUGGCAGGGGGUACUUGUUCUUAACAGUGACUUCAUUCAGGGCUCUGUAAUCUAUGCACAUCCUUUUGGUACCAUCUUUCUUCUCUACAAACAAUACUGGAGCGGCCCAGGGCGAGGUGCUUGGUCUGAUGUAACCCUUCUCUAACAUCUCAUCUAUCUGCUUCUUGAGUUCCACCAAUUCUGGUCCAGACACUCGAUAGGCCCUUUUAGAAAUGGGGGUGGUACCAGAGAUAAGCUCUAUGGCAAAUUCGACUUUUCUCUCGGGUGGCAUGCCCGUUAGCUCCUCGGGAAACACAUCCGGAAAGUCCGACACAACCUUGAUAGCCUCGAGCGGGUUGGUCUCCUUACUAUCAACUGAAAUCUGGUGACAAAUUCCCUCCGCUGAUUUAGGCAUCUUUAGCUCAGCCACUACCUCCUCUCCGGACGGGGACUUCAAUGUUACGGUCCUCUUGUCACAGCUGACAUUCGCUUCAUACUUCAUUAACCAAUUCAUCCCUAGGAUGACAUCUACCCCAGGGGUGUCUAUUACUAUUAGGUCGCUAGGGAACCCCAUCCCCUUUAUUUCCACCCUUAUAUUUGAGCAUAUUUUAUCUGUUUGCACCUUGCCACCAACCGAAUUAAUCCUCAUGGGCGGCAUCAUUGCCUCUACUAAGAUGUUAUGCAUUUCUACCCAUAUUGCAGUGACAAAUGAAUGAGUUGCACCAGUAUCAAAUAGCACUUUUGAGGGAUAAGAUUCGACUGAGAACAUACCUACUGCCACAUCUGGUGCAUCCUGGAUCACUUCGGCCUCCAAGUGGUUCACCUUUCCACGGUUGUACGCUUGGCCACGAUUGCCUGCUGCCUGCUGCAGUACACCUUGCCUUGUUGGAGCAUUGGGGUUGGUCUGCUGCUGCGCCAUCUUCUUUGGGCACUGCAUCGCCCAGUGGCCUUGUUCUCCAUAGUGGAAACAUCCUCUGCCUCCUCCUUGUGUUGGGGCUGCUUGGUUGCUCUGAUUUGCUGCGGGGCAGGAAGGCGAGGUGUCUGGUUGUUCUACUUCUGAUACUGAUUCCCUCCUUGCUGGCUGUUCUGACGAUACUGCUGCUGUUGUGGGUACUGCCUCUGAAACUGCUGCUGAUGCGGACGCUGAUUCUGAUUCUGAUAUCCCUGUGGGUGACCAGGCCUGCCUUGCUGAGAUGAACUGCCUGAGAAGCGGGGACGGCUGAUGCUCCUGGGCUGGGGCCCACUCAUCUUGCGCUUCCGAUCUUCCAUAUCCUUACGCUUCUUCUCAGUCAUAACUGCCCUAUCGAUCAGAUGCUGGAAGGUGGGGAAGGUGUGGUUCAUCAGCUGGUAGUGCAGGGGAUCCACCAAACCCCUCAUGAACCUGUACUGCCUUUUAGCAUCAGUGUUGACAUCUUCAGGUGCAUAACGAGACAGCUGCAGAAACUUGUCUCUGUAUUCACUAACAGAUAGGGGUCCCUGCUUCAGAGCCAGAAACUCCUCCUUCUUCACGAUCAUCAGUCCCUCUGGCACAUGGUACCUGCGGAAACUCUCGCUGAACUCUUCCCAGGUGAUGGCUUUGGGGUCAACAUGGGUAGCGAGGUAGGACUCCCACCAGGACUGGGCUGCUCCCCUUAGCUGGCGGGGACCAUACAGAACCUUCUCCCUAUCAUCACAUUGGGCGGUGCGCAGUUCCCUUUCCACUGCGCGCAGCCAGUCUUCUGCAUCCAUGGGAUCAGCAGAAUGGGCGAAGGUAGGAGGGUGCCCUCUCAUGAACUCGCCACGCUUAUCCCGUGGCAUCUGGGGCAUCUGCACUUGCAACUGGGGUUGGGGUUGCUGUUGAGCCUGCUGCAUGGCGGCGGGUCUGCCCAAUGGCCUGCACUGCCUGAGUCUACAUCAAGAACAUCUGCUCCACAGUCAUCGGGGGUGGUGGGGGAGGCUGCCUCUGGUGUUCCUCCUGCUGGGCAUGCUGCUCUGCUGAGCACGCCUGUUGCAUCGGCGCCUGUUGUCAGACAUCUGUGGAAGACAUUCAUACAUCAGCAUUGAUCUUACAAUCCUUCAGCAUAAGAAAAGGGAAUACAGAAUUCUUCAUGACACUGAGUGAACAAAGAGCUUCACUGAUCCUCAUUAUGAUUCAACACAACUUCUCAGAUAGAAAGGAAAGUAGAAGUAAAUGGUUUCCCAACUAAAUAACUGAUUUCAUUAAUAUCACUAGCUAAGCCAAACUGCAGGGGAAACCCACAGGUUGGCAACAGUCAUUACAAAGAUUCGAAUCUAGUACAAGUUCAUCAUAACAAGCAUGUAAGCAACUGAUAAGCAAACUAAACUGAAUGGAAGCAACUGGUAAGCAAACUAAACUGAAGGGAAGCAACUGAUAAGCAAACUAAACUAACUAUCUAAGACUGAGACAUCUGACUUAAGGAUUAUCACAAACUUCGACGCUACCGAUCUAAGGAUCCAGAUCUAUCCCGGUCUUACAGGCAGGGGAACCAUAAGUGUGGUGACCACGUGGCGGCGAGCGGUAAGGGUGCUGAGUCCCAACAGGAGCGGGGGAACCACCCUCCUGGUGGCGGCGCUCUGCAAGCUCAGCAUGCAACUCAGCAAUCUCCAUUCGAGCCCUGCUUAGCUCGUCCAGAGAGUGAUCCAGCUCGGUGUUAAGCACUGCGACUAGGUUGACUGUGCUGCUCAACCUAGGGUUAUCCUCACCAACAGGUGAGACAACCACACUCUCUGUGCUACCAGUAGAACGACGGGGGUAGUACCGAAGGUUAAGACCGUCGGCCACCCCACCGAACAAGGAACAGUACUGGGAGAGUGCACGUCGUGCUGCAUCCUGCAUAGCGCCUCUGCAGUGUCCCCUUUGGAGAUGGAGUAGUGCUCCGAAACGGCCUCCGCACCCCGGAGGUCAUCCUCCGGACGGCGAACUAGGCAGGUAGCCUCCCAGCGGUCCGGGUACCUCCCGCGACUGUGCUGGUAGACUACACAACGAUACUCGAUCGACCAGGUGUGCCUGUCGAAAGCCUGGCGCAGCAAGGUGUCGAGUGCGUCGUGGAAAGUGACAACCGCGAGCGGCGUCACGGGUGAUGGGUCGGGCGACCCAACCUUCCGCCUCCUGCGGCUCAGAGGACUCCGUGCGUGGUCUGAGUCGUCGUCGUCGGGGUCUCCUCCAGGACCUCCUCCAGUAGCUCCUCCAACAGCCGGGGCGUCCCGCGGUGGUGCAGGGGGUGCCUCCAGCUGGGCAACAGAGGAACGGCGCCUCACGGACUCCACCUCCUGCUGAGGUGGGGAGGAAGAGCCCUGCUGUCUCUGUGCUGACGCCGGCGUUCCUGCUCCUCACGCAGGCGGUGGUGCAGUCUCUCCAGGUGACUCGACUGACCGGACACGGUGCGGCGCAGAGGACGCUCCACAAGUCGAGACGGCAGGAAAGGAAUCACCGACUUACGUGCAGUGUGUCUAAGACGAGCCAUCUACAAAAGACACCGUAAGCACAAGAGUAAGAACAGAACUAAUAUGACAAGUGCAUAAACCAUAGACAGAACAAGAUAAAAAUUUUAACAAGGUAUAAUAUAGUAUAUAUAUGGUAGUAAAACAUAGGGUUGGUCGAGGUGACCGAUUUUUGAAGUAACAUCAGAGGUCAAGGUGAGAGGGAAGGUCAUAGUCCUUAGUUUCGACCAGUGCUACUCUAGGUUAGCGGUCCUACAGUCAGCACGGCUUUGGAUACCACUUAUGUCACACCCGGUUUUGGAAGGUAAACCGAAUGCGAACUAUGUACGUGCCAGGAUCAGAACUCACGUACACAGCGAUUACAUAAAUGAACAUCAUCACACAGUGCUCGAAUAACAACAUAAAGGGGUAUAACUUAUUUACAUCACAGAGUCAUAGACAUCCACAUAAUCAUCAACUUAACUGCUAAAUCAAAGUGCUAGCGAAACGCAGUAAAGGUAAGGCCUUCACAGGCAGCUGACUGGGGGUUGCCCGCCAACCCACACCUAGAACUCGUCAUAAUCUUGGAAUUCCUGGAAGUCUCCUUCCACAGCUUCAUCUUCUCCUAAGCAGUGGUUUGCAACAGGGACAACCUGGUGUUUUGUGGUAAAGCAAGGAUGAGUACACAUCAACGUACUCAGCAAAUGCCCCGUUUGGCUGAAGUGGACUAGCUUAUGUGGAGUUAAGCUCAAGCAGUUGAUUUUAGUUGGUCAGGUAUUUAUUGUUAGUAGAAGCCAGAUUUUAUCAUCAAGCCAAGUUAUAGACCCAAACGUACUUCCUCCGAGAGGAAAUACCAAAAUGCAUAAUUAAAGUCACCAUCAUUAACCAUCAACAUUAAAGUAAUCAUCCAAAGUGUAUCCGGGGUAUCUCUAAUCAAAGAGAGAUCCCAAGGCUGCUCUUAACCGUGAGCACGGCUGAUAUAUCAAUUUCACUACCCUCUGCAGAGGUCGCACACUUUACCCAUGAGUCGUGAUUCCCGUUCUGCCCGGAGAGAGCUACUCUCCAUUGACCACUACCUAGUGGCCUGGCAGGGUAUCACUACGUAGCCUUUACAAAGAUUCCCUAGAGGUCAUAGCCGCCCGUUAGGUUUCUCCAGUUUGAUUAAACACAGUACCCCUCCCCACAGGAGAGUGACUAACAAAAAAGCAAAACGAAAGAACCUCGGCACUCAGCCUCGGUAGAGCAAGCACUGUGCCUGGACCCCAUUGACGGCACGACGGCGAAGCAACACUACACCUCUAGUUCCUCUAAUUAAUUAGCUAAGGGCUUCUCAUUUCACCCUCAUGGUUGCACUGUUAUUCCCGGGUGGUCUCUCAACGAAUAGGUCCUUACGGAGAGGUACUCCAGAAACAGCCUGAGCCCCCUAGAGUAUCACAAGAUCAUCAAUAUCAUCAGGAUAACAGUAUCGUAUCAUAAAUUAGUCACAUCAUGUUCAUUGAUUAGGUUGAGGCAAUUAGCAAAAUGCUAACCAUAAUAACCCAAAAGGUCAUCAAGGAUAAGGUAAAGGUAUAAAGCUAGUCAAUCCUUAGGUUUCAAUUAAGUAAUGCGGGAAAGUGAAUUAUAAGUGAAUAGGACAUAAUGGGUCAGAGGACACUUGCCUUCACCAAACUGCUGAUCAGGGACUUCUUCUGCCACUUCCUCGGGAAACACAGACUGCCCGUUGUCUACGUAAAGUAAUCAUUCACACUAUGCACUUGGGAAAUUAACAAACAAAAACAGUAAACCAAGCAUAUGCAGCAGAGAGAUCACAAGUUCACAGUAGAAAAGGAUGGCAAUCUGGUGUUCCCUAGGUCUGGGGUAGAUGACUAUACAAAAUGAUUCAUUAUCCACUAAUCAGGUCUAAGUCAGUGGUGGGGUUAAAUCAUUACAUGGUGUUAAGUCCAUAAACUAGGGUGCUCCAACUUUUAUUAAAAUCUUCUAUCUUUUAUUUAUCUCAAAUAGGGGUUCCAAUAACAUUAGUUUUACCCUAAUGAUCAACUAUUAAUUGGGACAUAAAAACAGCAGGGAAACAUUGUUAAAUAGAUAGAUAAAAAUAUUGUGAGCAUUUUGCAAUUUGAAGCACCUAAUUGGAGUUCAUAUGACAAAGUUAUGAAUUUUAACAAGAUUAGGGAUUAAAAAUAUGCCUGAAUACUUAUUUUGGAUUAAAUAAAAGGUCCGAGGACCUAACUGCUAAGAUCCAGGGACGGCGGGUUAAUUUGCAGAAAGCCGGGUGUCUCUUUAAGAAAAAGCGCAGGCGANNNNNNNNNNNNNNNNNNNNNNNNNNNNNNNNNNNNNNNNNNNNNNNNNNNNNNNNNNNNNNNNNNNNNNNNNNNNNNNNNNNNNNNNNNNNNNNNNNNNUCGUCUUGCUGGGAGAUGGGAAGGAGCUCUACCACGUGCCCCUCAGGCAUCCUCAGCGAUGCAUUCCAUCGCCGAAGGCCAAGGAGCUCCUACAAGAUACACUCGAGGGCUUACGGCAUCACGCAGCAUUCGAGCCCUUGUUGGAAACGCCUUCCGACAAGGUUUCUCUACUUGCCGAUCGCGGUUGCUGACAACUAGAAUUGUCCGCACCUGCGAAGGGUGUCAGUUCUAGCGAGGAGACCCACCUGCCGCUAGGCUCUGCAGACGAUACCCAUCAUGACUUUUGCUAUGUGGGGUCUGGACCCGUCGGCCCUUGCAAGAAGGCACCCGGGGGCUACAACGCACCUGUUGGUCGCCAUCGACAAUUCUUCCAAGUGGAUCGAGGUCCGACCCCUAAACAGCAUCAGGUCGAACAGGCGGUGGCGUUCUUCACCACAUCAUCCUCGUUUGGGGUCCCGAACUCCAUCAUCACCGACACCGGACCAGUUCACCGAGAAAGUUCCUGGACUUCUGCGAGGAUCACGCAUCCGGGUGGACUGGGCAGCGUGGCACACCCCAUGACGAUGGGCAUAGAGCGUGCCAAUGGCAUGAUUCUACAAGGACUCAAGCCUCGGAUCUACAAUGACCUCAACAAGUUCGGCAAGCGAUGGAUGAAGGAACUCCCCUCGGUGGUCUGGAGCCUGAGGACAACGCCGAGCCGAGCCACAGGCUUCACGCCGUUCUUUCUAGUCUAUGGGGCCGAGGCCAUCUUGCCCACAGACUCAGAAUACGGUUCCCCGAGGACGAGGGCCUAUGCCGACCAAAGCAACCAAGCUAGUCGAGAAGACUCGCUGGACCAGCUGGAAGAGGCUCGGGACAUGACCUUACUACACUCGCGCGGUACCAACAGUCCCUGCGACGCUACCACGCCCGAGGGGUCCGGUCCCGGAACCUCCAGGUGGGCGACCUGGUGCUUCGGCUGCGGACAGGACGCCCGAGGGCGGCACAAGCUCACGCCUCCCUGGGAAGGGUCGUUCGUCAUCGCCAAAGUUCUGAAGCCGGAACGUACAAGCUUGUCACACCCGGUUUUGGAAGGUAAACCGGAAUGCGAACUAUGUACGUGCCAGGAUCAGAACUCACGUACACAGCGAUUACAUAAAUGAACAUCAUCACACAGUGCUCGAAUAACAACAUAAAGGGUAUUAACUUAUUACAUCACAGAGUCAUAGACAUCCACAUAAUCAUCAACUUAACUGCUAAAUCAAAGUGCUAGCGAAACGCAGUAAAGGUAAGGCCUUCACAGGCAGCUGACUGGGGGUUGCCGCCAACCCACACCUAGAACUCGUCAUAAUCUUGGAAUUCCUGGAAGUCUCCUUCCACAGCUUCAUCUUCUCCUGAGCAGUGGUUGCAACGGGGACAACCUAGUGUUUUGUGGUAAAGCAAGGAUGAGUACACAUCAACGUACUCAGCAAAUGCCCCGUUUGGCUGAAGUGGACUAGCUUUAUGUGGAGUUAGGCUCAAGCAGUUGCUUUUAGUUGGUCAGGUAUUUAUUGUUAGUAAAGCCAGAUUUUAUCAUCAAGCCCAAGUUAUAGACCCAAACGUACUUCCUCCGAGAGGAAAUACCAAAAUGCAUAAUUAAAGUCACCAUCAUAACCAUCAACAUUAAAGUCAUCAUCCAAAGUGUAUCCGGAGUAUCUCUAAUCAAGAGGAUCCCAAGGCUGCUCUUAACCGUGAGCACGGCUGAUAUAUAUCAGUUUCACUACCCUCUGCAGAGGUCGCACAUUUACCCAUGAGUCGUGAUUCCCGUUCUGCCCGGAGAGAGCUACUCUCCAUUGACCACUACUAGGUGGCCUGGCAGGGUAUCACUACAUAGCCUUUACAAAGAUUCCCUAGAGUCAUAGCCGCCCAUUAGGUUUCUCCAGUUUGAUAAACACAGUACCCUCCCCACAGGGAGUGACUAACAAAAAAAGCAAACGAAAGAACCUCGGCACUCAGCCUCGGCAGAGCAGCACUGUGCCUGGACCCCAUUGACGGCACGACGGCGAAGCAACUACACCUCUAGUUCCUCUAAUUAAUUUAGCUAAGGGCGUCCCAUUUCACCCUCAUGGUUGCACUGUUAUCCCGGGUGGUCUCUCAACGAACAGGUCCUUACGGAGAGGUACUCAGGAAACAGCCUGAGCCCCCUAGAGUAUCACAAGAUCAUCAAUAUCAUCAGGAUAACAGUAUCGUAUCAUAAAUAGUCACAUCAUGUUCAUUGAUUAGGUUGAGGCAAUAGCAAAAUGCUAACCAUAAUAACCCAAAAGUCAUCAAGGAUAAGGUAAAGUAUAAAGCUAGUCAAUCCUUAGGUUUCAAUUAAGUAAUGCGGGAAAGUGAAUUAUAAGUGAAUAGGACAUAAUGGGUCAGAGGACACUUGCCUUCACCAAACUGCUGAUCAGGGACUUCUUCUGCCACUUCCUCGGAAACACAGACUGCCCGUUGUCUACGUAAAGUAAUCAUUCACACUAUGCACUUGGGAAAUAACAAACAAAAACAGUAAACCAAGCAUAUGCAGCAGAGAGAUCACAAGUUCACAGUAGAAAAGGAUUGGCAAUCUGUGUUCCCUAGGUCUGGGGUAGAUGACUAUACAAAAUGAUUCAUUAUCCACUAAUCAGGUCUAAGUCAGUGGGGGGGGGGGGGUUAAAUCAUUACAUGGUGUUAAGUCCAUAAACUUAGGUGCUCCAACUUUUAUUAAAAUCUUCUAUCUUUUAUUAUCUCAAAUAGGGGUUCCAAUAACAUUAGUUUUACCCUAAUGAUCAACUAUUAAUUGGGACAUAAAAACAGCAGGGAAACAUUGUUUAAAUAGAUAGAUAAAAAUAUUGUGAGCAUUUUGCAAUUUGAAGCACCUAAUUUGGAGUUCAUAUGACAAAGUUAUGAAUUUUACAAGAUUAGGGAUUAAAAAUAUGCCUUGAAUACUUAUUUUGGAUUUAAAUAAAAGGUCCGAGGACCUAACUGCUAAGAUCCACGGACGGCGGGUUAAUUUGCUGAAAGCCGGGGGUCUCUUUAAGAAAAAGCGCAGGCGAAAGGGUAUCGGGCUUCUACGGCCGUUGGAUCUCGGAUCAACGCCCGAGAUUAGAUCCGCGGGCAGGCGCGCGAGCGCGCGGCGGCCUGAGCGGCUGACAGGCGGGGCCAGGCGGCAGCGCGGGCGCGGACGGCUGACAGGCGGGGCCAGGCGGGCAGCGCGGGCACGGACAGCUGACAGGCGGGGCCCAAAUGGCAGAAAGGCAGGGUGAGGGGGGGGGGGGAAACAGCCCUGGGCCGUUGGAUCUUAGGCGAACGGCUAGGGUUGGGCUCGGCCUAAUUGAAACAGGGCCGUUCGAUCUGGAAUGGACGGCGGGGAUUGGGUGGCCGGCUUCUGUCUUCUCCUACGGCUAGCAGAGGCGGCGGCGCCCGCUCCCGCGGCGGAGGACUCGCCGGAGACGAGGGGCGCGGGGGCUCUGCGGGUCCUUGGGGCGACCUGGGUGGCCGAGGAGGUCGGGGAGAGCGUGGGGAACCUUCCGGUGGGGACUGGGUCAGGGCAGGGGCACCGGAGGGGGCGGCCCACGACGAAGCGGCUCGGCGGUGGCGCUAAAGGACUCCGGCGAGCAAUUAAACGCGACGGGGGGCAAUAAAAAGGUCGGAAGGGGGCGGGAGAGGUUCCUUACCUCAAGGCGAACUCCGGGGACCCCUCGAUGGCGACGGAGACGCGGCGGCAGCCCGAGUCGACGGUGGCGGACCUCGGUGGCUGCGCAGAGAACGGCGGUGAGCGUAGGCAGAGGGAUUCGGAGAGGGAGAGGGGAAAUUGGGGCGCGUCCCGGGUUGCGGACGUCGGGGCGGAGCUCACCGUGGCAGAAGGCACAGCGGGGCUCCAACGGCGGCGGAGAAACGAGCUCGGGCGGCGAUGGUUUAAUGGCGGCGGCGCUCUGGCAUGUGCGCAGCGUGGGGGAGGUGGAAGAGGGGUCUGCAGGUGCGCAAAUGAGGGAGGGGGAGAGGGCGAGCGAGGUUCUAGGCUCAAGUGGCCGAGGCAAGGUGGUUGCGAGCUCCACGCGCGACGUGGGCGCGGAGUCUGCGGCACGCACGGCUCGGGGCGGCGGUUACGCGGAGACGGAGGAGCUGACAGCCGGGGCCCGCGGGCAGAGAGAGCGGGGGAAGCGGGCGCGGACGCGGGGAAAGCGGCUGCGCUGACGGGCGGGCCGCCAGGGCAGAGAGAGGAGAGGGGGGAAGGAAGGCGCGCGCGCGGGAUGGGCCUGAUGGGCCGAAAGGCCGAGGGGGCGGGGGAAGUGGGCUUCUUUCCUUUUUCUUUUAUUCUGGCAUUUGUUUUCCCUUUUCCUUUUAUUUAUUCUAUUUGAUUCAAAUCCAAAUAGGCCACAAAUUCAAAUUAGCAUUUCCAAGUAUUAUGCACCAAACAAAAAUGAAAUCUAGGGUUCAACAUGAUGCAACAUUUCAUACUCCCUUGGAGUUUAGCCUACUAGUUUAUAAUUACAAAUAAAAAUAACCACUCUUCUUCUAUAGAAAAGAGAAAGAGGAGGUUGGGGAAAGGUGUGAGAAGAGAAAUAACACCUGAAUUUGUGAAUAUGAGCAAAGAAAUUUUAUACCCCCAAAUUCAGGGUGUUACAAACCUAUCCCCUUAAGAGAAUCUCGCCCCGAGAUUCAAGGUUGGUCAGCAAAGAGUUCAGGGUAUUUGGCCUUCAGAUCAUCUUCUCGUUCCCAGGUUGCUUCUUCCUCAGAGUGGUGGCCCCAUCUGACUUUGCACAUUCUGAUGGUGUUUCUUCGGGUGACUCUGUCUGCAAACUCCAGAAUCUGCGUUGGCUUCUCUACGUAGGUCAGAUCCUCUUGGACUUCCAAGUCCUCCACGGGCAACUGUUCUUCUGGUACUCGCAGACACUUCUUCAAUUGCGACACGUGGAACACAUUGUGCACUGCUGACAAACUUUCUGGUAGGUUGAGUUGAUAGGCCACUUCUCACGCUUUGCUUGAAUCUGAUAUGGUCCAACAUACCGGGGUGCUAACUUGCCUUUAACUCCGAACCUUCUGACUCCUCUGAUAGGUGACACCUUCAGAUAGACGUAAUCUCCCACUUCGAAACUCAAUUCCCUUCUCCUUCUGUCAGCAUAGCUUCGCUGUCUUGAUUGUGCUAUCUUCAGAUUCUCCCGAACCAUUUUGAUAUUCUCUUCGGCUUCAAGCAAGAUGUCGGGGCCAAACACCUGUCUCUCUCCAGGCUGGUCCCAAUGCAGCGGAGUCCUACAACUCCGUCCAUAGAGUGCCUGAAACGGUGACAUCUUCAAGCUGGCUUGGUAACUAUUGUUGUAGGAGAAUUCUGCAUAAGGUAACCUUUUGUCCCAUCCUGACUUGUCUUGCAACGCACAGGCUCUCAGCAUAUCUUCUAGGAUCUGAUUUGUCCUCUCAGUCUGACCGUCUGUCUGUGGGUGAUAAGUCGAGCUGAAGUUCAAGUGUGUACCCAAAGCUUCUUGUAGCUACUGCCAAAAAUGAGAGGUGAACUGUGUUCCUCGAUCUGACACUAUCUUCUUCAGCAUACCAUGAAGGCAGACUAUCCGUGACAUGUAUAACUCAGCUAACGUUGCUCCAGUGUAUGUUGUCUUCACGGGUAUGAAAUGGGCCACCUUUGUUAAGCGGUCCACAACCACCCAGAUGGAAUCAUAGCCGGCCCGGGUACGAGGUAAGCCAACUAUAAAAUCCAUCCCGAUCUCAUCCCACUGCCACUGAGGAAUCCGCAAUGGCUGCAACAAUCCGGCGGGCCUCUGAUGCUCUGCUUUGGUUCUUUGACAGCUAUCACAGAUGGCGACAUAUUCUGCGAUCUCUCUUUUCAUGCCAUACCACCAAAACCUCCUUUUUAAAUCCUGAUACAUCUUCUCACUUCCAGGGUGUAUGGAGUAGGCUGUCUCAUGAGCUUCCUUGAGGAUCAGCUCCCGAAUAGGUUUGAGGUCGGGAACACACAAUCGGUCCUUGAACCAUAUCGCUCCCUUAUCAUCCUCUCGAAAGUCUCUGCCUCUUCCUUCUAAGAUCAGCUGCCGGAUCUUGUUGAUGUCUUCAUCAUCCUUCUGCCCUUCUUUGAUCUCCCUCUCUAGGGUGGGCUCUAAUUCCACUAUUACUCCUUGGGUACUGUUCAGAAAACCAAGACUCGGUCUAUCGAACUCCUUGGCCAACUCAUACGGCAUUGGGUACGUGGCCAUCAUAUUAACUUGACUCUUCCUGCUUAGAGCAUCUGCAACAACAUUGGCUUUGCUUGGAUGGUAAUGUAUCUCCAACUCAUAGUCUUUGAUCAAUUCCAACCAUCUUCGCUGUCUCAUGUUUAACUCUGACUGGGUGAAUAUAUACUUCAGACUUUUAUGACCUGUGUAGAUGUCGCACUUCUGCCCAUACAGGUAAUGUCUCCAUGUCUUUAACGCAUGAACCACUGCUGCCAACUCCAGGUCGUGCGUGGGGUAAUUUUUCUCAUGGAUCUUCAGCUGUCGACAUGAGUAUGCUACAACUCUUCCUUCUUGCAUUAGCACACAUCCCAAUCCGGUGUAAGAAGCAUCGCAGUACACCGAGAAUGGCUUGUGAACAUCAGGCAGAACUAACACAGGUGCUGUAGUCAAUCUAUUCUUCAGUUCUUCAAAUGCUUCUUGACACUUUUGGGUCCACUUAAACUCAACUUUCUUCGCUAGUAAUGCUGUCAUUGGUCUAGCAAUCUUUGAAAAGCCUUCAAUGAAACGCCUGUAGUAUCCGGCCAUUCCAAUGAAGCUCUUGAUCCCACGAACAUCCUUCGGUGCUUUCCAGUUCAUGAUAUCUGCUACUUUCUUUGGAUCCACUGCUAACCCAUCUUGGUUUAUGAUGUGACCCAGAAACAGGACUUCAUGAAUCCAGAACUCGCAUUUACUCAGCUUGGCAUACAACUGAUGCUCUCGAAGCCUUUGCAAUACCAUCUUCAAAUGCUCCACAUGAUCUUCCUCACUUUGAGAGUAUAUGAGAAUAUCAUCGAUGAACACUACCACAAACUUGUCUAGAUAGUCCAUGAACACGCUGCUCAUCAGAUACAUAAAGAAGGCUGGCACAUUUGUCAAACCAAAGGACAUAACUGUGAACUCAUACAACCCAUACUUGGUGAUGAAUGUUGUCUUCGGUAUGUUCGAGGGUCGGAUUCUGAGUUGAUGGUAACCUGAUCUCAGAUCUAUCUUCGAGAAUACGCUGGCACCUCUGAGCUGGUCAAACAGAUCUUCUAUUCUUGGCAGGGGGUACUUGUUCUUAACAGUGACUUCAUUCAGGGCUCUGUAAUCUAUGCACAUCCUUUUGGUACCAUCUUUCUUCUCUACAAACAAUACUGGAGCGGCCCAGGGCGAGGUGCUUGGUCUGAUGUAACCCUUCUCUAACAUCUCAUCUAUCUGCUUCUUGAGUUCCACCAAUUCUGGUCCAGACACUCGAUAGGCCCUUUUAGAAAUGGGGGUGGUACCAGAGAUAAGCUCUAUGGCAAAUUCGACUUUUCUCUCGGGUGGCAUGCCCGUUAGCUCCUCGGGAAACACAUCCGGAAAGUCCGACACAACCUUGAUAGCCUCGAGCGGGUUGGUCUCCUUACUAUCAACUGAAAUCUGGUGACAAAUUCCCUCCGCUGAUUUAGGCAUCUUUAGCUCAGCCACUACCUCCUCUCCGGACGGGGACUUCAAUGUUACGGUCCUCUUGUCACAGCUGACAUUCGCUUCAUACUUCAUUAACCAAUUCAUCCCUAGGAUGACAUCUACCCCAGGGGUGUCUAUUACUAUUAGGUCGCUAGGGAACCCCAUCCCCUUUAUUUCCACCCUUAUAUUUGAGCAUAUUUUAUCUGUUUGCACCUUGCCACCAACCGAAUUAAUCCUCAUGGGCGGCAUCAUUGCCUCUACUAAGAUGUUAUGCAUUUCUACCCAUAUUGCAGUGACAAAUGAAUGAGUUGCACCAGUAUCAAAUAGCACUUUUGAGGGAUAAGAUUCGACUGAGAACAUACCUACUGCCACAUCUGGUGCAUCCUGGAUCACUUCGGCCUCCAAGUGGUUCACCUUUCCACGGUUGUACGCUUGGCCACGAUUGCCUGCUGCCUGCUGCAGUACACCUUGCCUUGUUGGAGCAUUGGGGUUGGUCUGCUGCUGCGCCAUCUUCUUUGGGCACUGCAUCGCCCAGUGGCCUUGUUCUCCAUAGUGGAAACAUCCUCUGCCUCCUCCUUGUGUUGGGGCUGCUUGGUUGCUCUGAUUUGCUGCGGGGCAGGAAGGCGAGGUGUCUGGUUGUUCUACUUCUGAUACUGAUUCCCUCCUUGCUGGCUGUUCUGACGAUACUGCUGCUGUUGUGGGUACUGCCUCUGAAACUGCUGCUGAUGCGGACGCUGAUUCUGAUUCUGAUAUCCCUGUGGGUGACCAGGCCUGCCUUGCUGAGAUGAACUGCCUGAGAAGCGGGGACGGCUGAUGCUCCUGGGCUGGGGCCCACUCAUCUUGCGCUUCCGAUCUUCCAUAUCCUUACGCUUCUUCUCAGUCAUAACUGCCCUAUCGAUCAGAUGCUGGAAGGUGGGGAAGGUGUGGUUCAUCAGCUGGUAGUGCAGGGGAUCCACCAAACCCCUCAUGAACCUGUACUGCCUUUUAGCAUCAGUGUUGACAUCUUCAGGUGCAUAACGAGACAGCUGCAGAAACUUGUCUCUGUAUUCACUAACAGAUAGGGGUCCCUGCUUCAGAGCCAGAAACUCCUCCUUCUUCACGAUCAUCAGUCCCUCUGGCACAUGGUACCUGCGGAAACUCUCGCUGAACUCUUCCCAGGUGAUGGCUUUGGGGUCAACAUGGGUAGCGAGGUAGGACUCCCACCAGGACUGGGCUGCUCCCCUUAGCUGGCGGGGACCAUACAGAACCUUCUCCCUAUCAUCACAUUGGGCGGUGCGCAGUUCCCUUUCCACUGCGCGCAGCCAGUCUUCUGCAUCCAUGGGAUCAGCAGAAUGGGCGAAGGUAGGAGGGUGCCCUCUCAUGAACUCGCCACGCUUAUCCCGUGGCAUCUGGGGCAUCUGCACUUGCAACUGGGGUUGGGGUUGCUGUUGAGCCUGCUGCAUGGCGGCGGGUCUGCCCAAUGGCCUGCACUGCCUGAGUCUACAUCAAGAACAUCUGCUCCACAGUCAUCGGGGGUGGUGGGGGAGGCUGCCUCUGGUGUUCCUCCUGCUGGGCAUGCUGCUCUUGCUGAGCACGCCUGUUGCAUCGGCGCCUGUUGUCAGACAUCUGUGGAAGACAUUCAUACAUCAGCAUUGAUCUUACAAUCCUUCAGCAUAAGAAAAGGGAAUACAGAAUUCUUCAUGACACUGAGUGAACAAAGAGCUUCACUGAUCCUCAUUAUGAUUCAACACAACUUCUCAGAUAGAAAGGAAAGUAGAAGUAAAUGGUUUCCCAACUAAAUAACUGAUUUCAUUAAUAUCACUAGCUAAGCCAAACUGCAGGGGAAACCCACAGGUUGGCAACAGUCAUUACAAAGAUUCGAAUCUAGUACAAGUUCAUCAUAACAAGCAUGUAAGCAACUGAUAAGCAAACUAAACUGAAUGGAAGCAACUGGUAAGCAAACUAAACUGAAGGGAAGCAACUGAUAAGCAAACUAAACUAACUAUCUAAGACUGAGACAUCUGACUUAAGGAUUAUCACAAACUUCGACGCUACCGAUCUAAGGAUCCAGAUCUAUCCCGGUCUUACAGGCAGGGGAACCAUAAGUGUGGUGACCACGUGGCGGCGAGCGGUAAGGGUGCUGAGUCCCAACAGGAGCGGGGGAACCACCCUCCUGGUGGCGGCGCUCUGCAAGCUCAGCAUGCAACUCAGCAAUCUCCAUUCGAGCCCUGCUUAGCUCGUCCAGAGAGUGAUCCAGCUCGGUGUUAAGCACUGCGACUAGGUUGACUGUGCUGCUCAACCUAGGGUUAUCCUCACCAACAGGUGAGACAACCACACUCUCUGUGCUACCAGUAGAACGACGGGGGUAGUACCGAAGGUUAAGACCGUCGGCCACCCCACCGAACAAGGAACAGUACUGGGAGAGUGCACGUCGUGCUGCAUCCUGCAUAGCGCCUCUGCAGUGUCCCUCUUGGAGAUGGAGUAGUGCUCCGAAACGGCCUCCGCACCCCGGAGGUCAUCCUCCGGACGGCGAACUAGGCAGGUAGCCUCCCAGCGGUCCGGGUACCUCCCGCGACUGUGCUGGUAGACUACACAACGAUACUCGAUCGACCAGGUGUGCCUGUCGAAAGCCUGGCGCAGCAAGGUGUCGAGUGCGUCGUGGAAGUGACAACCGCGAGCGGCGUCACGGGUGAUGGGUCGGGCGACCCAACCUUCCGCCUCCUGCGGCUCAGAGGACUCCGUGCUGUGGUCUGAGUCGUCGUCGUCGGGGUCUCCUCCAGGACCUCCUCCAGUAGCUCCUCCAACAGCCGGGGCGUCCCGCGGUGGUGCAGGGGGUGCCUCCAGCUGGGCAACAGAGGAACGGCGCCUCACGGACUCCACCUCCUGCUGAGGUGGGGAGGAAGAGCCCUGCUGUCUCUGUGCUGACGCCGGCGUUCCUGCUCCUCACGCAGGCGGUGGUGCAGUCUCUCCAGGUGACUCGACUGACCGGACACGGUGCGGCGCAGAGGACGCUCCACAAGUCGAGACGGCAGGAAAGGAAUCACCGACUUACGUGCAGUGUGUCUAAGACGAGCCAUCUACAAAAGACACCGUAAGCACAAGAGUAAGAACAGAACUAAUAUGACAAGUGCAUAAACCAUAGACAGAACAAGAUAAAAAUUUUAACAAGGUAUAAUAUAGUAUAUAUAUGUAGUAAAACAUAGGGUUGGUCGAGGUGACCGAUUUUUGAAGUAACAUCAGAGGUCAAGGUGAGAGGGAAGGUCAAUAGUCCUUAGUUCGACCAGUGCUACUCUAGGUUAGCGGUCCUACAGUCAGCACGGCUUUGAUACCACUUAUGUCACACCCGGUUUUGGAAGGUAAACCGAAUGCGAACUAUGUACGUGCCAGGAUCAGAACUCACGUACACAGCGAUUACAUAAAUGAACAUCAUCACACAGUGCUCGAAUAACAACAUAAAGGGGUAUUAACUUAUUACAUCACAGAGUCAUAGACAUCCACAUAAUCAUCAACUUAACUGCUAAAUCAAAGUGCUAGCGAAACGCAGUAAAGGUAAGGCCUUCACAGGCAGCUGACUGGGGGUUGCCGCCAACCCACACCUAGAACUCGUCAUAAUCUUGGAAUUCCUGGAAGUCUCCUUCCACAGCUUCAUCUUCUCCUAAGCAGUGGUUGCAACAGGGACAACCUGGUGUUUUGUGGUAAAGCAAGGAUGAGUACACAUCAACGUACUCAGCAAAUGCCCCGUUUGGCUGAAGUGGACUAGCUUUAUGUGGAGUUAAGCUCAAGCAGUUGAUUUUAGUUGGUCAGGUAUUUAUUGUUAGUAGAAGCCAGAUUUUAUCAUCAAGCCCAAGUUAUAGACCCAAACGUACUUCCUCCGAGAGGAAAUACCAAAAUGCAUAAUUAAAGUCACCAUCAUUAACCAUCAACAUUAAAGUAAUCAUCCAAAGUGUAUCCGGGGUAUCUCUAAUCAAAGAGGAUCCCAAGGCUGCUCUUAACCGUGAGCACGGCUGAUAUAUCAAUUUCACUACCCUCUGCAGAGGUCGCACACUUUACCCAUGAGUCGUGAUUCCCGUUCUGCCCGGAGAGAGCUACUCUCCAUUGACCACUACCUAGGUGGCCUGGCAGGGUAUCACUACGUAGCCUUUACAAAGAUUCCCUAGAGGUCAUAGCCGCCCGUUAGGUUUCUCCAGUUUGAUAAACACAGUACCCCUCCCCACAGGAGAGUGACUAACAAAAAAGCAAAACGAAAGAACCUCGGCACUCAGCCUCGGUAGAGCAAGCACUGUGCCUGGACCCCAUUGACGGCACGACGGCGAAGCAACUACACCUCUAGUUCCUCUAAUUAAUUAGCUAAGGGCUUCUCAUUUCACCCUCAUGGUUGCACUGUUAUCCCGGGUGGUCUCUCAACGAAUAGGUCCUUACGGAGAGGUACUCAGGAAACAGCCUGAGCCCCCUAGAGUAUCACAAGAUCAUCAAUAUCAUCAGGAUAACAGUAUCGUAUCAUAAAUAGUCACAUCAUGUUCAUUGAUUAGGUUGAGGCAAUAGCAAAAUGCUAACCAUAAUAACCCAAAAGGUCAUCAAGGAUAAGGUAAAGUAUAAAGCUAGUCAAUCCUUAGGUUUCAAUUAAGUAAUGCGGGAAAGUGAAUUAUAAGUGAAUAGGACAUAAUGGGUCAGAGGACACUUGCCUUCACCAAACUGCUGAUCAGGGACUUCUUCUGCCACUUCCUCGGGAAACACAGACUGCCCGUUGUCUACGUAAAGUAAUCAUUCACACUAUGCACUUGGGAAAUAACAAACAAAAACAGUAAACCAAGCAUAUGCAGCAGAGAGAUCACAAGUUCACAGUAGAAAAGGAUUGGCAAUCUGGUGUUCCCUAGGUCUGGGGUAGAUGACUAUACAAAAUGAUUCAUUAUCCACUAAUCAGGUCUAAGUCAGUGGUGGGGUUAAAUCAUUACAUGGUGUUAAGUCCAUAAACUUAGGUGCUCCAACUUUUAUUAAAAUCUUCUAUCUUUUAUUUAUCUCAAAUAGGGGUUCCAAUAACAUUAGUUUUACCCUAAUGAUCAACUAUUAAUUGGGACAUAAAAACAGCAGGGAAACAUUGUUUAAAUAGAUAGAUAAAAAUAUUGUGAGCAUUUUGCAAUUUGAAGCACCUAAUUUGGAGUUCAUAUGACAAAGUUAUGAAUUUUACAAGAUUAGGGAUUAAAAAUAUGCCUUGAAUACUUAUUUUGGAUUAAAUAAAAGGUCCGAGGACCUAACUGCUAAGAUCCAGGGACGGCGGGUUAAUUUGCAGAAAGCCGGGUGUCUCUUUAAGAAAAAGCGCAGGCGAAGGGGUAUCGGGCUUCUACGGUCGUUGGAUCUCGGAUCAACGCUCGAGAUUAGAUCCGCGGGCGAGCGCGCGAGCGCGCGGCGGCCUGAGCGGCUGACAGGCGGGGCCCAAAUGGCAGAAAGGCGGGGUGCGGGGGGGGGGGGGGGGAAACGGCCCUGGGCCGUUGGAUCUCAAGCGAACGGCUAGGGUUGGGCUCGGCCUAAUUGAAACAGGGUCGUUCGAUCUGGAAUGGACGGCGGGGAUUGGGUGGCCGGCUUCUGUCUUCUCCUACGGCUAGCAGAGGCGGCAGCGCCCGCUCCCGCGGCGGAGGACUCGCCGGAGACGAGGGGCGCGGGGGCUCUGUGGGUCCUUGGGGCGACCUGGGUGGCCGGGGAGGUCGGGGAGAGCGUGGGGAACCUUCCGGUGGGGACUGGGUCGGGGCAGGGGCACCGGAGGGGGGCGGCCCACGGCGAAGCGGCUCGGCGGUGGCGCUAAAGGACUCCGGCGAGCAAUUAAACGCGACGGGGGGCAAUAAAAAGGUCGGAAGGGGGCGGGAGAGGUUCCUUACCUCAAGGCGAACUCCGGGGACCCCUCGAUGGCGACGGAGACGCGGCGGCAGCCCGAGUCGACGGUGGCGGACCUCGGCGGCUGCGCAGAGAACGGCGGUGAGCGUGGGCAGAGGGAUUCGGAGAGGGAGAGGGGAAAUUGGGGCGCGUCCCGGGUUGCGGACGUCGGGGCGGAGCUCACCGUGGUAGAAGGCACGGCGGGGCUCCAACGGCGGCGGAGAAACGAGCUCGGGCGGCGGUGGUUUAAUGGCAGCGGCGCUCUGGCGUGUGCGCAGCGUGGGGGAGGUGGAAGAGGGGUCUGCAGGUGCGCAAAUGAGGGAGGGGGAGAGGGCGAGCGAGGUUCUGGGCUCAAGUGGCCGAGGCGAGGUGGUUGCGAGCUCCACGCGCGACGUGGGCGCGGAGUCCGCGGCACGCACGGCUCGGGGCGGCGGUUACACGGAGACGGAGGAGCUGACAGCCGGGGCCCGCGGGCAAAGAGAGUGGGGGAAGCGGACGCGGACGUGGGGAAAGCGGCUGCGCUGACGGGCGGGCCCGCCAGGGCAGAGAGAGGAGAGGGGGGAAGGAAGGCGCGCGCGCGGGAUGGGCCUGAUGGGCCGAAAGGCCGAGGGGGCGGGGGAAGUGGGCUUCUUUCCUUUUUCUUUUAUUCUGGCAUUUGUUUUCCCUUUUCCUUUUAUUUAUUCUAUUUGAUUCAAAUCCAAAUAGGCCACAAAUUCAAAUUAGCAUUUCCAAGUAUUAUGCACCAAACAAAAAUGAAAUCUAGGGUUCAACAUGAUGCAACAUUUCAUACUCCCUUGGAGUUUAGCCUACUAGUUUAUAAUUACAAAUAAAAAUAACCACUCUUCUUCUAUAGAAAAGAGAAAGAGGAGGUUGGGGAAAGGUGUGAGAAGAGAAAUAACACCUGAAUUUGUGAAUAUGAGCAAAGAAAUUUUAUACCCCCAAAUUCAGGGUGUUACAAAGCUGGCCAACAGUCAAGGCGAGGUCUACAGCAACGCUUGGAACAUCCAAUAGCUACGUCGCUUCUACCCUUAAGAUGCUUUCAAGUUAUUCAUAUACCUCGCUCCCACGCAAAGUUUAGUCAUCAAGGAAGGGUCAGCUUUGCCUCGGCAAAGCUCGACCCUCCCUCGGGGGCUAAAAGGGGGAACCCCCUCUGCGUCGAAUUUUUUCCUCGAAAAAAAUCCUUUCUGCCAGAAUGUCUUUCGUGCUUUUCGACUACUUCGAAAGUGGAUCCCGAAAACGACGGAGUACACGUAAGCAGCCAAGGCUGACCGAGCCGAGGGACUCCUACGCCUCCGGGAUACAGAUACCUCACUCAUCACCUUCUGCGAUAAGUAACUCGCGUUUGGAUAAGCGAUUCCACGGACCGAACAAGUCUUCACGCUCGAAAGCUCCUCUGCCGAAGUGAUUCUUCGGGCCUUCUCGACUGCGUCGGUGGCAGAACCCUAUGGACGGGCAAGGGUGCGCGUAAGCGGCAAGGCCGACCGAGCUGAGGGAUUCCUACGCCUCCGGGAUACGGAUACCUCACUCAUCACCUUCCGUGAAAAGCAACUCUCGCUCGCACAAGACAAUUCUGUUACCGACGAAAAAGUCCAGAUACUCGAAACAAGAGGAAAAGAAGUGCAGCUUUACAACACGGCGAGGGUGUGUUUGGGCCUCGGCGGCCGCAGAAAACACACGCUACAAGAUAAUCCGAUCCUGCAGGCUCGGAUCUUGACGGUUGAAGGGAGCAGCAGCACCCUCGGCGUCAACUACACCUUCGGCGAGGUCCGGCCUAGCCUCGGACGGUGAGCCGGUCCGAGGAUCUCCACCCUGAAGGACGACUUCAUCAUCACGCCCGGGCCAUCGCCACCAGGGUCUCCUCCAAGAAUCCGGCUCGAGCAGGCGGCUCGGCUGGUCACCCCGAGGCCUCGGCCAGUUGUCCCCCGAAGACAUCAGCCCGGCCCGAGGCCUCGGCAGAUCAACUCCGGCGCCGGUCCCGCUAACGGACGACCCGGCCAGGCUCCGGCCGACCAAGUCUUCUUUUCGAGCCAACUCUGCCUCUAUCCGUGCUGACACCGCUACCCCUGGCUUCGGCUCAUCGAAGAGCGGCCGAGGGGUUCCUUUAACUAAGCAAGAGAAGCCUCGGACAGAAAGGCCGACCGAGCCGAGAGACUCCUACGCCUCCGGGAUACGGAUACCUCACUCGUCACCUUUGUACGGGGCGACUCACGCUUGGUGAAGCGGUUCAGACAACCAACAGGCGAGUCUUAGUGCUCGAAAAUGAGGAAAAAACACGGCUCCACGCCAAAAAUACAUACACGUUCAAGCCCCGACAGCCACAAUGAACAAAAACACUGGCAUUCAAGGUGCCAUUACAAACGGAACUCCGGUUCCGUCCCCGCGGGUAUGAACGACCUCCACACCGAGGAGCCUGCGGGGCGACAAGUUCCGGGCGACUCGCCAGCGACCUCUGCAGCAGCAGCUAUGGUCCCAGGACGGGCGUGGCGACCGGAAGGCUCUCGUUCGCGUCCCCGCUCAAGGGGCACGAACCAGACAUCAAAGCCAAAGAGCAGGCUGCUCCAAAGCGCACCGGUAGGCCCUCGCUCCCGUCCUCGCCGCAAAAACGAGGAAGAGGGCGGAAUGUUGCAUCCUAGCUGGGCAGCAACAGUUCGCCUUCCCCGGCAUGGCUGGAGGAUGCCUCCUCCGCAGAGCUGGGGGAUGGUUUCCACCACCAGAAGCUGGAAGAGGAGGUGGCCAGCCGACCCGUGCGGGAGGUAGAGCCCUGGCUCGCCUCGCUCUCCGCCCCAGCAAGGAUGGUAAGCAUCCUUGAAGCUGAGGGAGAGGCGGGGGCCGCCGCCCGGCUUGCUUCUCCCCAUCUAGGGGCUGGUGGUCACCGUCUUGGGUGACCACCGACGGAGGGGUGCAGCCGGGUCGCGUGAUGAAAAACCUUGAAGCCGAACGAUGGCUGAAAGGUACCAACUCCCAUGGAGUUGCAUUCCUCCAACGACAAGGUGGAAGGACCGCGGGUGUCCCCCAUCCGGGGGCUCGGAAGGCGGAAAGACACGAUGCAUAAGGGAGCGCGAAGACAUGGUCGCCUUUCAAGGGGGUCACCCUCCUUUUAAAGGCGACUCUCCCUACCUGCGUCCCCAGCCGUCGUGGGCUGAGUCUUCUCCAACACGCUCCAAGGUCCUCCCCCUACGGUGCGGGGGCUGGGUCCCACACGUCAUGCAAACUGGCCCAGAGUAGAAGAAGCAAAACCGCCGCGCGCGGUGCAUGCAACCGCCCAGCGGUUACAAGCACCCCUCCACUUUCGCCCAGACCAGCGGAUGAAAGGGCGGGCAGCCAUGCAGGCGGCAUGCAACCGCGCCAAGUGGGCGCACCUCUCCGACUUCCAACACGCCAACGCGUCAUGCAAUCGGCGCGCCGGUCGCUACGUGCAAGCAACUGCACCGCCACUCGCACCACUACCGCGCCUCCUCGAUUGCGGAACCAGUACCGUGACUCGAGGCGACCCAGCGCACGACCUAGCAGCGCCAGCCUGGCACGACGAUCAAUACGACCAAAAAUGGGCCGGCAGUAAUAGCGGUGGCAGGCGGGCAGGAGCAGCGGUCACGUCAUCAGCCAAGCUUACGUCCCAUCCGGGGACAGCAAGAGAACCCUCUCUCACGGCGUGAAGACAGCGCGCUCGUGUUCCGUUCCUCGAACGGCUCGCGCACGCGCAACGGCCACCUCGCGAACCGCCCGCUCCGUCGCAUUAACUCCGCGGCGCGACAGGCGGCGCCUCUGGCGGGGGAAGCGAGCGACGCUUCGCCUUCGCCAUAAUGACCGCGUAAAAAAAGGUACGCCACAUCAUUCGAUUUCGUAUCCUUUUCCUUUUUCUCUUUCUCUCUCUUACAACAGGGACCGGGAAAGGGGGAUACCCCGAAAAGGAUCCUUCUCCGUGAAGGGAACAGGCUCCGAGCCUCCCUACUGAUCAGAGGUUCGAAGGCUGGCCCCUCAGAGGGGUUCAACAGCCGCCUCAGAGCGCGUGGGCUCCACACCCACUACUGGUCAGAGGUUCGAAGGCCGGCCCCUCGGAAGGGUUCAACGGCUGCCUCAGGCCACUCGGGCUCCGCGCCCACUACUGAUCAGGGGUUCAAAGGCUGGCCCUCGAAGGGUUCAUAGCCGCCUCAGACAUAGAGCGAGGGAUGACCAUGGGUACGUUCGAUACAUAACCAAGGCUCGGGCUACGCUCCCGAGGUACCCUAGGACAUUUCCGAGACCAGCGGGAACGAUCUUGUAACAGAAUCCCAUCAGAGGGAGGCAUCGAGCCCUCGGACCCCGUCGACAGGGGACCGAGUCCGACAAAUCACCCGCAGGUACUUUUGGGCGCGCCUCUAGGCCUCUAGCCGACCCCUAACAAAUGGGGCACGAACGUCUGCUCGGAUUACCCACCAGCAGCUCACCGGAGACACCAUGUUCGGCGCCCUCCGAGGGCAACAUGGCGCUUUCCCCCCCUCCUCCUUGCGGAAAGGCGACGUAGGGGCGUAUGUAAAAAAAGUCGAGUCUGUCCCUGACCGUCCUCUCGCCCUGUGCAGAGGCUCGGGGGCUGCUCUCGCAAACCCGGCUCCGGCCAAACCGUUGACAGCGUCAACCUACCAGCCCGAGAACUUGGGACCCGACCGUGCACCCGGGCUACGGCCAGCUCGCAUGAGGGAACGACUAGACCAGCCGGACCAUUGCGCGAGGCAUUAAGACCUCAGAGGAGUCAAACCACUCCUCCGAGGCCUCGGGGGCUACACCCGGCGGGUGCGCUCGCACGCACCCACCGGAAAAAAACGCAACCGAGAAAGGCUGGUCCCCUUGAAAAAAAGUGCGACAAAAGCCUCCAAGUGAGUAUUAACACUCCCUUCGAGGCUCGGGGGCUACUGUCGGGGACCAUAAUUAGGGGUACCCUCAAGGCUCCUAAUUCUCAGCUGGUAACCCCCAUCAGCACAAAGCUGCAAAGGCCUGAUGGGUGCGACUAAGUCAGGGAUCGGUCCAUUCGAGGGACUCGAUCACGCCUCGCCCGAGCCCAGCCUCGGGCAAGGGCAGCCGACCCCGGAGGAUCUCUGUCUCGCUCGAGGCCCCCUCCAGCGACGAACAUACUUCCGGCUCGCCCGAGGCCCAGUCUUCGCCAAGAAGCAACCCUGGCCAAAUCGCCACGCCAACCGACCAAAUCGCAGGGGCGUUUAAUGCAAAGGUGGCCUGACACCUUUAUCCUGACGUGCGUCCUCCAGUCGACAGAGCCGAAGUGACCGCAGUCACUUCACCGCUCCACUGACCGGCCUGACAGAAGGACAGCGCCGCCUGCGCCGCUCCGACUGCUAUGCCACUCGACAGAGUGAGGCUGACAGGCAGUCAGGCCCGGCCUCAGGCACCAUAGGAAACUCCGCUCCGCCCGACCCAGGGCUCGGACUCGGGCUCAGCCCCGGAAGACGGCGAACUCCGCUCCGCCCGACCCAGGGCUCGGACUCGGGCUCAGCCCCGGAAGACGGCGAACUCUGCUCCGCCCGACCCAGGGCUCGGACUCGGGCUCAGCCCCGAAAGACGGCGAACUCCGCUUCGCCCAACCCAGGGCUCGGACUUGGGCUCAGCCCCGAAAGACGGCGAACUCCGAUCCGCCCGACCCUAGGGCUCGGACUCGGGCUCAGCCCCGGAAGACGGCGAACUCCGAUCCGCCCGACCCCAGGGCUCGGACUCGGGCUCAGCCCCGGAAGACGACGAACUCCACUUCGCCCGACCCUAGGGCCCAGACUCAGCCCUGGCUUCAGCCGACAGUCUCCGCCUCGCCCGACCCAGGGGCUCGGACUCGACCUCGGCCUCGGAAGACAGACUCAACCUCGACCUCGGAGGAGCCUCCACAUCUCCCAACCUAGGGCGCGGACCGACCACGUCAACAGGAGGCGCCAUCAUUACCCUACCCCAAGCUGACUCAGGCUACGGGGAACAAGACCGGCGUCCCAUCUGGCUCGCUCCGCCAGACAAGUAAUGAUGGCGCCCCGCACGCUCUAUGACGACGGUGGCUCUCAGCCCCCUUACGGAAGCGAGAGGACGUCAGCAAGGACUCAACAGCCCCGACAGCUGUCCUUCCGCCAGGCUCCAGCACUCCUCCGAUGGCCACGACACCACAUGAACCGUGUGCCAAAACCUCUCCGGCUGCCACGAUGGCAUGUACUUAGGGCGCUAGCUCUCCUCCGCUAGACACGUUAGCACUCUGCUACACCCCCAUUGUACACCUGGAUCCUCUCCUUGCGCCUAUAAAAGGAAGGACCAGGGCCCUCUUACAGAAGGUUGGCCGCGCGGGGAAGAGGACGGGACAGGCGCUCGCGUGAGGCCGCUCGCUCCCCCUCCCGCGUGGACGCUCGUAACCCCCUACUGCAAGCGCACCCGACCUGGGCGCGGGACGAACACGAAGGCCGCGGGAUUUCCACCUCUCUCACGCCUUCUUCCCCCCUUCGCGCUCGGCCUCGCGCCGACCCAUCUAGGCUGGGGCACGCGGCGACAUUUCACUCGUCGGCCCAGGGACCCCCCCGGUCUCGAAACGCCGACAGAUACCAAAGCCCAAACUUAGGAGUAUAAACUAAAUAUCUCAAGAUUCGUUUUACGGCCGUAAGGUGAGCUUCCUUAGUGUCGGCUUGGAAUCUUGCACACAUGCAUACGGAAAGCAUGAUAUCUGGUCGAGAUGCACAUAAAUAGAGUAGAGAGCCAAUCAUCGACCGGUAUACCUUUUGAUCCACGGACUUACCUUCCGUGUCGAGGUUGAGAUGCCCAUUGGUUCCCAUGGGUGUCUUGAUGGGUUUGGCAUCCUUCAUCCCAAACUUGCUUAGAAUAUCUUGAGUAUACUUUGUUUGGCUUAGGAAGGUGCCCUCUUGGAGUUGCUUUACUUGAAAUCCUAAGAAAUACUUCAACUCCCCCAUCAUAGACAUCUCGAAUUUCUGUGUCAUAAUCCUACUAAAUUAUUCACAUGUAGACUCGUUAGUAGACCCAAAUAUAAUAUCAUCAACAUAAAUUUGGUAUACAAACAAGUCAUUUUCAAGAGUUUUAGUGAAUAAAGUAGGAUCGGCCUUUCCGACUUUGAAUCCAUUAGUGAUAAGGAAAUCUCUAAGACAUUCAUACCAUGCUCUUGGGGCUUGCUUGAGCCCAUAAAGCGCCUUAGAGAGUUUAUAAACAUGGUUAGGGUACUCACUAUCUUCAAAGCCGGGAGGUUGCUCAACAUAAACUUCUUCCUUGAUUGGUCCAUUGAGGAAGGCACUCUUCACGUCCAUUUGGUAAAGCUUGAAGCCAUGGUAAGUAGCAUAGGCCAAUAAUAUACGAAUUGACUCAAGCCUAGCUACGGGUGCAUAGGUUUCACCGAAAUCCAAACCUUCGACUUGGGAGUAUCCCUUGGCCACAAGUCGGGCUUUGUUCCUUGUCACCACACCAUGCUCAUCUUGCUUGUUGCGGAACACCCAUUUGGUUCCUACAACAUUUUGGUUAGGACGUGGAACUAAAUGCCAUACCUCAUUCCUCGUGAAAUUGUUGAGCUCUUCUUGCAUCGCCACCACCCAAUCUGAAUCUUGAAGUGCUUCCUCUACCCUGUGUGGCUCAAUAGAGGAAACAAAAGAGUAAUGCUCACAAAAAUGUGCAACACGAGAUCUAGUGGUUACCCCCUUAUGAAUGUCGCCGAGGAUGGUGUCGACGGGGUGAUCUCGUUGGAUUGCUUGGUGGACUCUUGGGUGUGGCGGCCUUGGUUCUUCAUCCUCCUUGUCUUGAUCAUUUGCAUCUCCCCCUUGAUCAUUGUCGUCAUCUUGAGGUGACUCAUUUGCUUGAUCUUCUCCUUCAUCAACUUGAGCCUCAUCCUCAUUUUGAGUUGGUGGAGAUGCUUGCGUGGAGGAGGAUGGUUGAUCUUGUGCAUUUGGAGGCUCUUCGGAUUCCUUAAGACACACAUCCCCAAUGGACAUGUUCCUUAGCGCGAUGCACGGAGCCUCUUUAUCACCUAUCUCAUCAAGAUCAACUUGCUCUACUUGAGAGCCAUUAGUCUCAUCAAACACAACGUCACAAGAAACUUCAACUUGUCCAGAGGACUUGUUAAAGACUCUAUAUGCCCUUGUGUUUGAAUCAUAUCCUAGUAAAAAGCCUUCUACAGUCUUAGGAGCAAAUUUAGAUUUUCUACCUCUUUUGACAAGAAUAAGGCAUUUGCUACCAAAGACUCUAAAAUAUGAAAUGUUGGGCUUUUUACUGGUUAGGAGUUCAUAUGAUGUCUUCUUGAGGAUUCGGUGUAGAUAUAACCGGUUGAUGGCGUAGCAAGCGGUGUUGACCGCCUCGGCCCAAAACCGAUCCGAAGUCUUGUACUCAUCAAGCAUGGUUCUUGCCAUGUCCAAUAGAGUUCGAUUGUUCCUCUCCACUACACCAUUUUGUUGUGGCGUGUAGGGAGAAGAGAACUCAUGCUUGAUGCCCUCCUCCUCAAGGAAGCCUUCAAUUUGUGAGUUCUUGAACUCCGUCCCGUUGUCGCUUCUAAUUUUCUUGAUCCUCAAGCCGAACUCAUUUUGAGCCCGUCUCAAGAAUCCCUUUAAGGUUUCUUGGGUAUGAGAUUUUUCCUGCAAAAAGAACACCCAAGUGAAGCGAGAAUAAUCAUCCACAAUAACUAGACAUUACUUACUCCCGCCGAUGCUUACAUAAGCUAUCGGGCCGAAUAGAUCCAUGUGUAGGAGCUCCAGUGGCCUGUCAGUAGUCAUGAUGUUCUUGUGUGGAUGAUGGGCACCAACUUGCUUCCCUGCUUGGUAUGCGCUACAAAUCCUGUCUUUCUCAAAAUGAACAUUUGUUAAUCCUAAAAUGUGUUCUCCCUUUAGAAGCUUAUGAAGAUUCUUCAUCCCAACAUGGGCUAGUCGGCGGUGCCAGAGCCAACCCAUGUUAGUCUUAGCAAUUAAGCAAGUGUCGAGUUCAGCUCUAUCAAAAUCUACCAAGUACAGCUGACCCUCCAACACUCCCUUAAAUGCUAUUGAAUCAUCACUUCUUCUAAAGACAGUGACACCUACAUUAGUGAAUAGACAGUUGUAGCCCAUUUGACAUAAUUGAGAAACGGAAAGUAAAUUGUAAUCUAAUGAAUCUACAAGAAAAACAUUGGAAAUAGAAUGGUCAGGAGAUAUAGCAAUUUUACCCAAUCCUUUGACCAAACCUUGAUUUCCAUCCCCGAAUGUGAUAGCUCGUUGGGGAUCUUGGCUUUUCUCAUAGGAAGAGAACAUCUUCUUCUCCCCUGUCAUGUGGUUUAUGCACCCGCUAUAGAUGAUCCAACUUGAGCCCCCGGAUGCAUAAAACUACAAAACAUGUUUAGUUCUUGACUUUAGGUACCCAAAUGGUUUUGGGUCCUUUGGCAUUAGACACAAGAACUUUGGGUACCCAAACACAAGUCUUUGAUCCCUUGUGCUUGCCCCCAACAUACUUGGCAACUACCUUGCCGGAUUUGUUGGUUAAGACAUAAGAUGCAUCAAAGGUUUUAAAUGAAAUGUCAUGAUCAUUUGAUGCAUCAGGAGUUUUCUUCUUAGGCAACUUAGCACGGGUUGGUUGCCUUGAACUAGAUGUCUCACCCUUAUACAAAAAUGCAUGGUUAGGGCCAGAGUGAGACUUCCUAGAAUGAAUUCUCCUAAUUUUGCUCUCGGGAUAACCGAUAGGGUAUAAAAUGUAACCCUCGUUAUCCUGAGGCAUGGGAGCCUUGCCCUUAAUAAAGUUGGACAAUUUCUUAGGAGGGGCAUUAAUUUUGACAUUGUCCCCCUUUUAGAAGUUAAUGCCAUCCUUAAUGCCAGGGCGUCUCCCACUAUAGAGCAUGCUUCUAGCAAAUUUAAAAUUUUCAUUUUCGAGUUCAUGCUCGGCAAUUUUAGCAUCUAAUUUUGCUAUAUGAUCAUUUUAUUGUUUAAUUAAAGUCAUGUGAUCAUGAAUAGCAUUAAUAUCAACCUUAAUUACAAGAAUAUAACCUUAAUUACACACACAAAAUAAUAAAAGUGAAUUAUUGUUUUAAGCUGUGGUGAGCUUUUUCUUUGACACAAGCUUGGCAAAAGAAGUGUGGGAACACCAGGUGUUCCCGAAGGACGUACCGAAUUAAGGUUCGUUGUAUGUGGCUGCUUUUCAGGACCCAAUUUGUCAUGAGAUGCUUUGGCUACCACCUGUUCUGCAUGUGAUGAGUGUUGUUUGACAGGACUGUUAAUGGAGGUUCUGCUUCCAGAAGCGAUCAUAUGCUCACUAUAGUCCCGGCUCAAGCAAGCACAUGCCCUCUCCAGCGCGUCUUGUUCUUCUGACAUGAUUUUGUCAUGAUAAAAUUGCUCAAUUUUGAAACAAGGGUUCUAGAGAUUGAUUUUGUCGUGAUAAAAUUGCUCGGCACAUGUCCUCACCACCAUGCUCAAUUUUGCAUGCCUCUAUAAAUCAUUGACGCAGACUGAAACAAAUCUUUUUAUUGGGAGUGUUUUUAGACGAGAGGCAAACUUAUCAGCCGUUCUUACAAGUCCUAACCAUAGUAGUGUAAAUAAUGUUGAUGGUCAUUAUCUUCAAAUAAACAAACAAAUAAAUAAAAGUUAUCUCCGAACGUAAAGAAGCACAAAUAAUGAACGAAAAUAAUGAAGGGCUAAAGCCUCCUUGUCGUCUAACAAAGUUUAUGAUGCCUCGACACGAAGAGAUUCUGUAAUUAGAGCCAGAACUGUCGUUUGGCCUCAUUGAUAAAAAUGAAAAAAAGACAUUACAGGCUCAUGGUCAAAGAGUUGAAGUACAAAACACCACUAAAUACUGAAACCUAAUGCUACGAGAAAAUUAAUUAAGUCAUGGAGGCAUCAGCUUGACGUACUACGUGCUCCAGGUACCGGUGUAAAUGAAGCAACUAAUAAAGUGAACCCAAAAUAUCAACGUAGUAUCUUCUCAUGUACACUGUAUUUAUGUUUCUCCACUCCUCUUGUAUGCUCCCCUCCUCCACCAUUAUAUUUUGGGAAAUUUGGAUCCAUACAUUAAAAGAUCACCACUUUGGAUCCAUACCAUUACUAUAUCACUUACAUGUGGGUCCAUAUGAGUCAAUGACAUGUGGGGUCCAUGGUAUAUAUCUAAAGUUUGGAUCUUUUAAUGAUAUAGAUCCAAUUGUUCCUUAUAUUUUAGUUACCGAGAACAAGAGGGAGCCAAGGAAGUGAGGGCAUCAUGCGUGCAGCAUGGACCAACCUUUUUACCCCUUUCUUCUACUUCCUCCUGUUUUGGUUGGAUCGGCGUGACCGCGUGAGAAUGGGAUGUAUCAGGGCAAGGAUGAAUUCCGCUAGCGACACAAGGCCAUACGGGGCGACUGACACCUAUUAGCAUUGAUGCAUUAUUAAGGGUUCAUUUGACAGGACUUUUGUUGUGCCUUUGCUUUUUUUCCAUGAGACAUACCAAACAACAAUUUCACAAAAUUCUUUCUUUUGUAUUAAAGAGGUGAUGCUAAGAAAAGUGGCUUUUGCAACUUUGGCUUAUGGUAUUUUUGAAAAAAAAAACUUCUACCAAAUCAACCCAAAUCUCAAUAAAACGAACGGGGAUGUGGAAGUUUUCCCUAUAAAAAUGUAAACGGGAAAAAUUUCUCUCCCGAAGGGUAAACAAGGAUGAAGACGGGGUAGCAUUCUCAUCCCCGUUCCCCGCGGAGACUCGUUAAACUCGCAUAUGAUGAUAUUUUUGUGUAAUAGUAAAUAAAUAAGUUGUUAAGAGUUCACUUAUUACACAAAUGUGUUUAUGUAUACAUAAUGAUUUCUUAGAUCUAAUAAUGUGUAUAUGUGACAAUGUUUUAUAUUAAUAAUAUACAAAAUGCAUCCUAGUUAUAAUUUAACGGGCCGGGGAUCCCUGUUGGGGAUUUUAUCUCCGUGUGGAACAGAGACAGGGGAAAAUGUCCUGCAAGUUUUCAUGUGGAUCCCUACGUGGAAAAAUUUUCGUCGAGGGAUGGGUAUGGGGAGCUAUUCCCCGGUAGAAAAUAUCCCAUUGCCAUCCCUAGCAAUGACAACGUCGAGCGCGGGCACGCAAGCCAAGCCGAUUACGCUGUGACGGAUCACAUGCAGAUCACCGGAGAUGUCCUCACGUGGUUAACAGCUGAUCUGUUCCACUUGAUACUGAUCGAUAUGAUUGGACCUGAACAAGUACGCAUCUUCUAAAUUUGUUUAGUGUUCCAGCAGCGCCACCAAGCAUUUGCAUUUGGUGCUGUAAAUUGAGUCGUCAUGGAUGUAAAGAUAUAAAAUAUACUCAACAUUUACCACAACUAUUCAGACCGACACUCGAUUUCAGUGAUCUGGUUCUGGUAGAGUGCCCUUGCUGAGAGAACUUCCUGAGAAUCAUGAGCUCAGCGAAACCCAUUUCGAAAACUUGGGCAAAAGAAAACGCCGUCUCUGAAAACUGGUCUUUGAAAAAGUUUUGGGUUAAACUAGUUAGUUGCAUGUAGGUUGCUACGUUUUCUAACAAUAUUUCUUCUCUAUAAAACAUAAACAGGCAUGAGUUGCAGUAGUAGAAGUCGAGUAUUUUAUACCAGCAAGCAAGGUUUAAAUCCUCUACACCUUUUUUUGGAUAUUUGGUGCGCUUGCUAGAGAAGGUGACACAAGAAGAAACUCACAGUUAAAUAUAGUAGAGAUGUGCAAAGGAGAAAAGCGUGCCCUUGAGACUUGGUACUUGGACUUCUUUAACAGUUUCACUUAUGUGAGAGAGCGACUGUGCAACCGAGAUGGUUUUCAUCGGUGAAACAAAACCAUCUUCAUCUCCUUUUUCAUAAAGAUCAUCGUGGAGAACAGCAGCAGUAGUACUCCGUAAGCCGUAGCUACUAUUGCUGCUGCUAACGAGAAGGGAUUACGACGGACAGUGACGUAAUGAACUGGAGGCACGGAGCUGCAGGACUGCGAGCGUCGACGAGGCACCUGUUGUCAAGAAACAACUGGAGACGGUGGAAGGAAGAGGAAGCCCCACCAGAUUUACGAUUAGACCAACUUUAUGUACGUACACAGGCCCGUCAAUAUAUAAGGUUCAGAUCUCCUUCCUCUCUCUUGCUUCCUUCUUUUCUCGACGUAUUCUCGUCACCUUCUUCUUCAUCGGCGACGCCGCCAUUUGUGAACGAGGGUUUCAGUAUGUCACUAUGUCCAGCUCCUUCCCGGCCGGUUCUGAACCGCAAUCAGCAUUCAUCCAUACACCGAUUCGUUGCCAUUGCCUUGUUUUUUCCCAGAGGGAUCGGAAGGCCCAGAGGGAUCGGAAGGCCUCGCCCCAAUGGCGAUAGCGAUGAAGGGGAUAUUCAGAGGCCUGAAGGUGAUCGCACAGAUAUUCAGUAAGAGACGUCGUCUCUUGCAUCUUCCGUUGCAUUCCAUGUCUGUAACUGGCUUCAUAUAAAUAUGACUCAUCGAAACGGAAGGUUACUCUAGUACACGUUUAUAGAGAGUGAAAAUGCAUAUAUAAAUAUGACGAGCCAAUUCCUCAGCCAAAAAACAUUAUCCAUGCAACAUCAUAUAGGCUCGAGUAACUGUAAACGGUCAUCCACAUAGAGCAAAAUUAAAGCUCGUCUUGACAAACACAGAAAACAGCAACACCACCCAGAGAGGACUAGCUUCAUGCCGCCAAGAGCCGCCAGAGAUGCCUACAGCCUCCUUCCCCUCCUACCGCCCUUUCUGCGAGUGCUGUCCGUGGGGACCGGGGUAACGUCCUCUGCACAUAGCACAAACGCGGCAUCAGUAUAGAGAACCAAAGCAUUAUGAAACAAAGCAGGGCUAACCAGCACAGGCCAGCCAGCCCUUGAAAGAUCCAGGAUCUCCUUACCAAUGCGUCCGAUUUUCAUCCCAGAACGAGCAAGCGCCCUGAGGGCAGACUGGGCACCAGGUCCGGGGGUCUUGGUCUUGUUGCCUCCGGUGGCACGAAGCUUAAUGUGCAGUGCAGUAAUGCCAAGCUCCUGAAGACAAAAUACCGGCCACAGAUCACUUAUCCGGAUAUACAGCAACACUAAAGCAGAGCUACGUAAUCCUAGGCUUCAAUGUAAUUAUUAAGACAACGUCGUCUUUGGAUACACAGACGGACAAAUGAGUGAGU